CGAUCCUAUUUUGCGUCCAUUUUCUUUCUCAAGUUUGCGGUAGAAGCUUGGCAGCAACUUGAAAACCGAAUUGAAAUCAUUUUGGAAAAGAUCAUUCAGAAAAAUCUGAAUGGUGGGACGUUCUAAUUCAUUCUUCUCUUCCUGGCCAACUUUGUCAAUACUUUGCACAAUGUCCCGAACUGUUAAAAGUGUGUUUGGUCCAGAAGCGCAUCCCAAAUCCGCAACUUUAAUGCAGUUGUUGAUGUUGGGCAAGUUGGCCCGCAACAAUUCUCGUAUGCAUUGUUCAAGGACAGGUUUCACCUUGGCAAGAGCCAGCUGUUACACAUACCAGUCCAAAAUACAAAUGUGAAGGGGGGAAAAAAGACAUACUAAGUUAGAGAUCGACGUAUCAUAGCAUGAUUUACCACUACUCUGUGUGUGUGUGUUAAAGAGAGAUAGAGAGACAGACAGACAUUGUAGGAUGAAUUCUUGGCGUAGCUUGUAUCGCCUUCACCUCCAUUCAUAUGCAGGACUGCUUGGAGCUCCAUUCAUAUGCAGGACAAUCGAAUUGCGACUGCUAAAGAAGGUGUCUGUUAAUGAUUAAUUGUGCAAAAUGUCGGGCUUAAAUAGCGAAAAUUUCAUAGAUGCGUAUGCGAACCAGCUACCUACGUGCGUAGAAAAGUCUGUCAAUUGGUCAGAAAGAAAGCGCACAGCCAAUGGGAACCAGACACGAAUGAUAAAAUCAGAAGUUGAGAUUUGGGGAUAAAAUAUCUUAUCUUAUAGGGUUAAAUGCAAAAAACCCCACAAACUAUAUACCCAAUUGCAGUUUACCCCCUAAACUAUAAUAAUAAACAUUUUGUCCCCUUGAAUGAUAUGUUUGGACAAAUCUACCCCUUUUAUUUUAAGCAUUGUUAUUUUUCUUUUUUCCCUAUCAUUUUCUUUUUAAAUUCUUCCUUUUUUUUCUUUAAACAUUGUUUAAAUAAGUAGACUAGAUUAGUCAAAAUUUGUUUAUUUCUUAAUUUCGUAUGUCAAUAUUUUAUAAAAAAAAAUCUAUGGAAUACAAGAUUUUUUUUCCAAAUGUUGGAGUCAAUGUCAUUUAAGAAAUUGAACUUUUCAAAUAUAUAAUAACAAAAUAGAGAAAUUGAUUAAUCAAUUAUUAGUAGUAUCAAUAACAAAAAAAAUGAACUACUAUUGUUGUUUAUUCUUAUUUUUUAUUUCACUACAAAUAACAAUUGCUAACUUUUCUUUUUUAUGUGACAUAUAAUAUGUUACUUUUAUUAUAAGUAGUUGAGUAACUGUGAACUCUUAAUUAGUUCAUGGGUACUUAAAUUGUUGAAUUACUAGAUUAAUACACUUUACAAUAUAAGCUACAUAUAUUUUGUAAUAACAAAGAGUUUAUGUCAAAUUAUUAAGAAUAAAUUUAACAAAUAAACAAAUUAAAAAAUAGUUUAAAAAAUAUUAAAAUUUUUUAUGUAAGUCUUUUCACAUCGGAGAAAGACGUUGGCUAGUUCCACGAGAGAAGGAGAAAAUAAAAGGAAAAAAUGAAAAAAGCUAAUAGAGAAAAGAAAAGAAAGGAUUUAAGACAGUAGGGGUAAUGUUGUCCAAACAUAUCAUUCAAGGGGACAAAUUGCCUAUUAUUAUAGUUUAGGGGGUAAACUGCAACUGGGUAUAUAGUUUGUGAGGGUUUUUUGUAUUUAACCCUAUCUUAUAUAGAAAAAGUCAAGACUUCUACUCUCAUAUUGAGCCACGUGGCCGCAUUUGGGAAGGGAGUCUACUGUAGUAUAUUGAUAAGUGUAUGUUUUGAGUGUUUUAAAUGUGUUUUAUUAAUUAGUUUUGGUGUAUUUUAAUUAAUUUUAUAGCUAAUUAACUAAGUUUCUAGUGAAAAUAUACAUUUUGUGGUUUAAGUAUCAAAAAUUGCAUUUCUAUAGAUUUUAAUAGUGAAAAUUUCAUAUUUUUGUAGGUUAAAUUAUUCAAUCAUCAAUUGGAGUGACUUGAGAAGAUAUUUGGAUGAUUUGAAAUGAUUUAAAGAAAACAUGAACUAUCAAAUGUUCAAAAGAGGAAAUUCAAUCAAGAAUAAAAGAAAGGGAGUUUUCCAACUUUGAUACCUUGUGGUCUUUCAGCUAUAUCUUGAGUUACAAGCAUUGAAUUGAGGUGAUUCUUAAACCAUUUUAACACUAAGAGAUAGCUGCAUAUUUGAUAGGGAUAAUUUCAUAUACCUCCCCUUAGGUUUCUGACAGUUUCACUCCCCUCCCCUGUGGUUUCAGAAAUACCACAAACCUCCCCUAAAACUAAAUAGGCAAUGUCAAAAUAGACCCAAUUUAAAAAUACAAACAAUAAAAAAUCAGUAGCUAGAGAGAGAAACAAGUGUAUGCCACAAACGCCCUCAUUAUCUUGCAUUAAUGAGCUAAUCUCAUGUGAAGAAAAAACAAGGAAUUUAAGAAGAAUAAAACUUGAGGGGGUGUAAGUGAGACCAAUGCAUUCAUUAAGGUUUGAACGUCAAUAGUGAACAAAAUGGAAGGCAACGGCUCUUUCUGGCAGUCAGUUCUAAUGUCCAUAUGCAACGCCCAAUUCAGAAGGCUAUUUAUAAGAGUAAGGGACUGCUUGUUUUACAGAUUGAAAUCGGAAAUGGAAAUGGAAUCAUAGACUCCGGUUUUGGAAUUAAACUUUUCAUUCCAAUAUCUAACUUGGUUCACAUAUUGGAAUUAGCAUCAUUCCAAUUCCUGAUACUUGGUUUGAUGAGUGUUUCGGAAUUAAAUGUAAUUAAAUUUCAAAUUUACCCCUGAUAUAACAAUUCUUCUAAAACAAAAGAAUUACACAUACGACAAAUUAACAUCUCCAUAAUUGUAACUACAAUAGUUAUUAACUUUUUGAUAAAACAUAAGAAAAUCAUAAACCAUAAAAAAAAUUAAUACCAAAAAAUAAAUAUAGUGGCUGCAUUAACAAGGAGUAAAUUCCCAAAACGAAGGAGUUUUUAAACUAACUUCUCAAAGGGUGAUGAUUUUUGAAUCUCUUUCCACAGGGUGAAAAAUACAUCCAAGGAAUGCAUUCUUCCAAAUAAAAACGCAACUUUCAAAUACAUUAUUUUAAUUUUCAUAAAUUUAUUUAAAUAUGAAAAAUUGGUUAAAUAGCGCAUAAUAUACCAACUUUUUAUGAGAAAUUGACAGGUUUUGUAGUAUGUUUUGUAUCAGCUCUUUAUGGGAGACAUGCUAGUUCUCUAUGGGAAAAAUUGGUUAAAUAGCGCUCAAAGGAAAACUAUUAUGCUUUGUAUUUAACAUAAAUUAAAUAUGUGAAAGUUAAAAAUAAAAAAAGAAAUUGCUCAUAACAUACCAGCUCUUUAUAGGAAACUGGCAGGUUUUAUAGUAUGUUUUGUACCAACUCUUUAUGGGAAACAUACCAGCUCUUUAUGGGAAAAAUUGGUUAAAUAGUGCCCAAAGGAAAACUAAUAUGUUUUGUAUUUAACAUAAAUUAAAUAUGUGAAAGUUAAAAAAAAAAAAAAGAAAUUGCCCAUAACAUACCAGCUCUUUAUGAGAAAUUGGCAGGUUUUGUAUUUAAUGAACUAUUUAAUCAAUUUUUCAUAUUUAAACAAACUUACGAAAAUUAAAAUAACGUAUUUGAAAAUUGCAUUCAUAUUUAAACAAAUUUACGAAGGCCCUUUUCUAUAUUGGUUGUUAGGACUCUAAUUUUUCGUUAAUUACAUUAAUUGUGUUUAUAACUAACUUAACUAAAUUUUUCCAGAUAAUCACGAAAUAUUAGCAAACUUGUGAGGGUAUUUAAGUCUUUGUGGCACCAAUGAUGUAAGAAAUGGAACCUCACAAUCUGACAAGGGAGGUUUGUGGUAUUUCUGAAACCACAGGGGAGGGGAGUGAAACUGUCAGAAACCUCAGGGGAGGUAUCUGAAAUUAUCCCUAUUUGAUAUGAAGACUUGAAAUCUAGUUUAGUCGUUUUCUUUGUCGAAAUACAGAAGUGCAUUUUUAUUGUCAAAAACUAAAACAGAGUUCUGACUAGUCGAGAAUAUUUUGGUUAUUUCUUGGUCCACAGAUCUCCAAAUUAGAUGAUUCUUGAAGCAUUGAAAAUGGGCUACAACUUUCAUGCUUUUUACAAGAGUUAGUUCAUCCUCCAUCAUCAAGAAAAUACCAGUUGACGUUGGACCAAAAACAGAGCAAAGAGAAGACUUGACCAGAAAUGAGCAAACUUCAAAAAGAGAAAAACGUGGGUAUAAUAUGCGACCUUAGGUCAUGUUUUCGAGGUCGCGUAAUCUUCAUUUGUGGCUGCAGUUUGCUCUGCAACUUUUGCUUUGUUCACACAAGCUUUUUGACUACUUUUUCAGCAAGAAUUUCGACUAGGUAUGAGCUAACAAGUAUGGAGACAUCAAGAAACAACCUUUUGAUGAUUCCAAAAGCCAACUAGCACCAACCUUAACAUGAUUACUUGGAGUUUUAAUCCUCUAUAAAUAGAGGCCUUUGGGAAACAUUUUCCCAACUUUAGAAAGGCUAGAGAAACUCCACAAAAAUGUAGUCUUCACUAGAAUUUCUUUAGUUCAUUAAUUAGAUUAGUAUAGUAUAGUUAGUGUAACUUAUCCUUCUUGUAUUUGUAACUAAACUUGGAUGAAGAUUAAGGAGCAAAAUGAAGAGUUUGAUCUCAUGUGACAAGGGUGAUAUCUCUUAUACUAUUUUUUCUCUUGUAUUUGAUUUCAUAUUUAGUUAUUAUACAAGUUUGGAUUUGUGUUUAAAUAUGUAUUUUUAAAGUUUAUACCUAGAGUUAUGGAUGAACUUGCUAUAUCUUAUUAGUGAUAUUUACUUGGUUAUUUGAUGAUAUUAUUUUGAGCAAAUUAUUUAUUAGUUUUACUUUUCUAAUCAUGAUUAACCAACCAUUAAUUAUGAUAAUAUUAACGUGUUAAAUUUGCAAUGAGAAUUGGGAUUAACAAUAGUUCAACGAAGUGAUAAACUUAGGGAAUACACUCACAAGAGUAGAGGUACACUUAUGUGGAUUUACUGACUUGUUUCAUGUAAUUUCAUAGAAGAAAUAAGUUUGUAAUUAAUUUCAUAACCAUGAGAGUAGGUAUGGUUUAAUUACAAGUAUAGUUGAUUCAUUACGAGAGUAGAUUUCAUAUACAUUAAGAAAUUAUGCCAUAACUAGCCAAGAUAAUAACAUUCACUUAAUCGAUAAUUUCAUUAGCGAGAGUAGUUAGGAAUUUCAUACCUCUAGAAGUUUUAUAUUUUUAUUUUUAUUACGUUUACUUCAUGUUUGUAGUGUAGCUUUAAUCUUUUGCAAUUUGUGGUAAUCUAAAUAAUAAAGGAGUUUGAAAGCUAUCGGUAAUUGACAAUUUUCUCUGUAGGUUUGACCCUUAAUACUCUAUGCUCAAUCACGCAUAGUAUACUUGUGAAAAAUGGCAUAUGGGGUAUUUUGAAUUUUAUAAAUAUGAAACUUGACUAUGGAUGACCUAAUUGUUAUAUACAUAUCCCGUGCCCGUCAAAUUUUUAAUGCCGUUGCCGGGGAAGAUUUUGCUCAAUAUUGGCGCUAAGAAUAACUUUAUUAAUUUAGACAUUUUUUCUUGGUUUUCUUGUUUUUAUUGUGUUUAUUGUCCUUUUGUUAUGUUUAGUGUCUUGUUGUAUCUUUUAUUUUAUGUUUAGUGUCAUGUUUUUGUAUGUGUCGAGUCAUCUAUUCUUCUUGACUAAACUUGUUUUUGAAUUACUUUGAAAGUAUGUUUAGGGUUUUAAGGAGAGUAGAAAACAUGAGGAGACAAUGCUUGAGAAGUGAAAGAUCGGCAAUGGAUUAUUAUCAAGUACAAAGCACCUUGAAUAGAGGUAACCAAGAUGUUACCGAAGGUAUAUCAUUCAAAAAUGGUUUAAAGAGUUUAAAGGCUAAACUUGAUAUUAUAAUAUUAAAAGUUCAAUUGGACACCAUUACAAACAUGCUUGAGCAAAAGAGGAAUGUUAAUACUUUUAAUUCUUAUCAUGUGAUUUGUAACUUGUGUGGAGAUUAUCAUGCUACUCAUACAUGUAGGCAAGCACACAAUGUGGAUUAUUAUGAUGAAUUUGGGUAUUACAAUCCUUAUUUUGAUCAAUAUGGUCAUAACUGGGGGAAUUCUUAUACUUAUGAUUGGGAUAAUCAAUGUAUUUAUAGUGAUUCUCAAUGUUAUCAUGAUUACCCACCCGAGCGUGUCCAAUAUGAAUCUAAACUAUUUUGGGAAUUAGCCAUAGAAAAGCUAGCUAAUGCAACCUCAGAUCGUUUUGAUAGGGUUGACCAAAGAUUUGAUGAAUUAACUUCUCAUUUUGGUAGAUUACAAGAUCAAUUACACGUUUUGUGUGAAGUUAUUUUUUCUAAUCAUGUGCAAGAUGACCCUAACAUGAAUGAUGGAAAUGUUGUAUGUCGAAAUGGAUUGCAUUUUGAUGGAAAUGAUGCAUUUAAUAUACGUUUCAAUGAGAAAUUGUCCAUUUCACAAAAUCAUAUCCUUGGAACUAACUUUAAAGCUCAAGAGAUGAGCAUCAAUGACUCAUUUUUCAUCUCUCUUGAGGAAUGUGUUGAAAACAUAGGUUCUAAAUAUAUCGUCACCCAAGAAAGGCAAGCAGAUGUUCCUUUGGUGAGCACUCAAGUGACGCACAUUCAAGGUAUUAUUUAUCCAUCGCUUGAGAUAUGUAAGCCUCUUCCACCUCUCAUACUAUUAGAACAUGUGGAUUUUGAUAUCAAGCCACCAUUUAUUGAUCCACCAUGUCUUCUAAUGAUGAAUUAUUCAUUGACAAAAUCUCGAAAAAUGAAAUUAUAUAGUCGAGCCAAAGACUAUAAACAAAAGCGCUAGUUGAGAGGUAACCCAAUAUUUUGAUGACUUAUGUUAAUUCAGUGUGAUUUUAUGUUUAAAUUAUGCAUUUAAUGUAUUGUUUUUCUUUUGUAGGUUUGGGAAAUAGAAGUAAAAGUGAUCAAAUGAGAUGAAAAAGGCGAAAUUUGAUUGAAAAACUCCACCCCUCGAUUUGAGUAUUUAAUGUUUUUGAUUCGUUAAAGAGAGGUAAAAUACAUAUUUUGAUCAUUUUACAUAGCGUGCGUUGAUUAUUUUAUCGAAAGAAUGAUCUAGUGUGCAUUUUAAGCAAUAGGGGUACCAUGUGUAAUUUUAAAAAAUUGAAUCUUCUGUAGAAAAAUUGCAGAAAAAAACGCAGCAUCAUGGAAAACGCGACCUUAGGUCACGUUUUCUUGAGGUCGCCUACUCUAUUCUACAAUUUUUCAACAGAAUACACGAGUACAGAAAACAUGACCUAAGGUCACGUUUUCAAAUGUAAGAUAGAAAACGCGAGCCUGAAAACACAAGCUCAAGCUCGCAUUUUCUACUCGCAUUUUUUAAGUUCUUUUAAGAAACAAAAAUGCAGGCUGCCUUAUUCUUCUUUUCUUCUUCUCCUCCUCACAUUUUCUCACACAUACUAACACACAAUUCACCAUUUUCCUCUUUUACUCAAUUUCCUUGUAAGAAAUCAUCAACAAAAUAUUAUUUGACCUUCAUAGAUCCUUUUUAACUAAUUAGAAUUCAGGAAAAAGAUCUCAAAAUUUGGUUGAAGGUUAGGGUUCAUAAUUUCUAAUUCCAUCAAUUGAAGGUCAAUUGGAGUGAUUUUCAUAGGACUUUUUGUAUCAUUUGUAUCACCAAACAUCACUCUACCAAUUUGAGAUAAAUUUCUUGAACUUAAUUUGGUAUUUUAAAAUUCACCAUUUGCAUAUCUUUUGAGUUUAUUGAAACACUUUGAAUGGCGAAUUUGUGAUGUUAUUUGUUGGUGUAUAUAAGUUCCAUUAUGCUUAUGUAACAUCUUUAAGCAUAUUUAGAUGAUCAAAUGUGGGAAUGUGAUGAUCUAUGCAAUGUUUCAAUUCAUGUAUAUUCCUAUUUUAUGAUCAAUGUAAUAAUUGGUCUUAGAAUAUUGUUAAGCAUAAUUGGAUAGUUCAAAUUGCUAAAAUGUGACUUAUUCAUGAUGCUUACAUGUCUACAUUCAUUACAUGGUGACAUUUUAGCAAAUUUGAAUUUGUAAACUUUAGAGAGUGGCUAGUUUAUCUAGUUAAAGGAAAAUGAUACAUUUAAAUGGAAAUUUAUUGCUUAAUUUUCAUAUAAAACAUCAUUGGAUGAAAAAUUUUGAAUAUGUGAAGAAUUUAGCAAUUUGUAGAAUUUUAGGAGUAAAAAAUGUGUGAAGUGAAGUGAAAUGUUUCAUUGUACCUUGAGUAGUUUCUUAUAUAUUUUAUAUGGGCACAUCACCACGACAAAGGCGUAGAAGUUACGGAUCGCCAUUUUGUGUUUAUUAAUACGUUUGUUAUCACUUUUGUUUCUCAUUUUUCAAUUCUUAGGUUUAAUUACUAAUGGUUAUCCAAUGGAACUAAUAAAGUUUUGGAAAUAAACGGACAAUGGUUUGUGACACUUCAUGACGCUUCAAUUAUAUCAAUAAGGGAGUAUUCCUUUUUUUUUAUUUCCCUUCUUACACAUUGAAAACAAUGUAUAUGUUAAGUGUUGGGGGGGAGGGAAUUGAGAUUAUAUGCAUCGUAUGUGAUUGAUUUGUUAGUUGCAAAUAUUGGACUUGUGCUUGAAAAUGUUAUCGGGUUUAAAAAUUUUUCAAAAUUGGGUUUGUUGGCAGGGAGUUUAGUCCAUUUAUAAGAUGAGACUCUCACAAAAUUUUUUCAAAAUCUUGUCUAAAAUUGUAAAAUUGUCCCAAAAGAUUUCAAAAUUUUUCAAUUUUAUCCAAGGGCAACAAGUUUCAUACCUUUAGUAAUUCAAAUUCCUUCUACUUUUAAGAUAAAUAUAUGUAACUUGACAACUUCUUUUCUCAUUUAACUUGAAAAUGACUAUUAUGUGAUUAUAAUUUGCGCAUUUAUAGGAAAGUAUCUUGAAAAAUGGAGAAAAUUAUGCCUAAAUUUUACAAAUUUGAUGAAAUUUCUUCUCUUUACUUAAUUUUACAUAGUUAAGUGAAAAUAUGGUCAAUAAGUAUAAUAUUCUUCUCAUGAUUAUUCUUUUGAGAGAAUGUUAUUAUUUUUGCUUUUGAAGAAAAAAAAGAGAGAAAAAAGGAAAAAAAAAGAAUAAAAGGAGAAUAAAAGUUGUUCUACUUUAAUGGUUCUUGUACUUAGUAAUCGGGAGUGUUUAUAUACAAAUAUUGAUUUUCGCGUAAAAGGGAACUAGAAUUAAGAGUAUGCAAGGCAACUUGAGGAUAUGAAGUGUUGAGUAACUGGCGAUUUUCAUCUAAAAAUGUCGAUUUUUGUGACAAAAGAUACUUUCACAACUUGAAUAAUAUUAGAUAUAUUAUAUGAAUAAAUCCUUUUUUGCAUCUGAAAAAGGUGAUGAUCAUGGGUUUAGAAAGCAUUUUUAUUCACCAUAUGACUCGCUUGUGAAAUUGGAAAAGGAUAAGAAAUUGACUUGAAUUAGUUACAAUUAUGGCAUAAUUAGCUCUCCUUUACUUGAUAUUAUGAGUACUUGAACUUGAUUGAAUGAUUGCAUUAUGGUUAUUUACCUUGUUUUGAGGAAAUGAAGUUGAACUGUGUACAUAUGUUUAAUUCCAAAGUUUUGGAUGAUUGUGGUUAGUAAUUCUUAAUUGCUUGAGAACAAGUAAUGGUUCAAGUAUGGGGGAGUUUGAUAAGUGUGUAUUUUGAGUGUUUUAAGUGUAUUUUAUUAACUAGUUUUGGUGUGUUUUAAUUAGUUUUAUAACUAAUUGACUAAGUUUCUAGUGAAAAUAUACAUUUUGUGGUUUAAGUAUCAAAAAUUACAUUUCUAUGAAUUUUAAUGGUAAAAACUUCAUAUUUUUCUAGGUUCAAUGAUUCAAUCAUCAAUUGAAGUGACUUGAAAAGAUAUUUGAAUGAUUGUUGAUGAUUUGAAGUGAUUUAAAGAAGAUAUGAAGUGCCAAAUGUUCAAAAGAGAAAAUGCAAUCAAGAAUAAAAGGAAGGGAGUUUUCUAACUUUGACACUUUGUGGUAUUUUGACUAUAUCUUGAGAUACAAGCAUUGGAUUGAGGUGAUUCUCAAACCAUUUUGAAGUUAAGACAUUUGUUGUGAAGACCUCAAAGUUCAGUUUAGUUGUUUUCCUUGUCAAAAUAUCGAAAUACAGAAGUGCAUUUUCAUUGUCAAAAGCUAAAAUAGAGUUCUGACCAGUCAAGGAUAUUUUGGUCAUUUCUCAGUCCACAGAGCUCCAAAUUGGAUGAUUCUUAAGGAAUUGGAAAGUUAAUGCAAAGGACUACAACUUCAUGCUUUGUAUAAGAGCUAGUUCAGCCUUCAUCAUUAAGAAAAUGUCAGUUGAAGUUGGACUAAAAACAAAGCAAAGAGAAGACUUGACCAGAAAUGAUAAAACCUGCAAAAGAGCAAAAUGUGGAUACAAUACGCAACCUUAGGUUGCAUUUUCGAGGUCGCAUAUUCUUCAUUUGCAGCUGAAACUUGCUCUACAACUUGUGCUUUAUUCACACAAGAUUUUUUACUACUUUUUUUGCAAGAAUUUCUGCUGGAUAGUGCUAAUAAGUAUGGAGACAUCAAGAAGCAAUCUUUUGAUGAUUUCAAGAGCCAACUAGCACCAACCUUAACUUGAUUACUUGGAGCUUUAAUCCUUUAUAAAUAGAGGCCUUUGGGGAACAUUUUCAGAACUUUAAGAAGACUAGAGAAACUUCACAAAAAUGUAGUUUUCAGUAGAAUUUUUUUAGUUCAUUAAUUAGAUUAGUAUAGUAUAAUUAGUGUAGCUUAUCCUUCUUGUAUUUGAUCUCAUAUGACAUGGGUGAUAUCUCUUCUACUACUUUCUCUUAUAUUUGAUUUCAUGUUUAGUUAUUAUACAAGUUUGGAUUUGAGUUUCAAUGAGUUUGUUUGGACAAGCCAAAUUUGGUUUGCAAAAUUUGUUUUCACAAAUCCCAAUCACCUUUUUAUCUUCCCAAUCACCUUUUUAUCUCACAUACAUCACAUCACAAAAAGUGCUACAGUAAAUAUCUCAAAUAAAUCAUCCAAAUAAACUCUUAUCCAAACAAACUCAUUAUGUGUUUCUAAAGUUUAUACCUAGAGUUAUGGAUGAACAUGUUAUAUCCUGUUAGUGAUAUUGACUUAGGUAUUUGAUGAUAUUAUUUUAAACAAGUUAUUUAUCGCUUUUACUUUUUUAAUCAUGAUUAAUCAACCAUUAAUUGUGAUAAUUUUAAGGUGUUAAGUUUGCAAUGAGAAUUGGGAUUUAACACUAGUUCAAAAAAAUGAUAAACCCAGCGAGUAUACUCAUGAGAAUAAAGGUGCACCUAUGUGGUUUUAGUGACUUAUUUCAUGUAAUUUCAUAGAAAAAAUGUACUUUAGUUGAUUUCAUAACCACGAGAGCAGGUAUGGUUUAAUUACAAGUAUAGUUGAUUUACUACGAAAGUAGAUUUCAUAUACAUUAAGAAAUUACGCCAUAACUAACCAAGAUUAUAGUAUUCAUUUAACCGAUAAUUCAUUAGCGAGAGUAGUUAGAAAUUUCAUACCUCUAGAAGCUUUAUAUUGUUAUUGUUAUUAUGUUUAUUUCAUGUUUGUAGUGCACAUUUAAUCUUUUACAUUUGUGGUAGUCUAAAUAAUAAAGGAGUUCGAAAGCUAUCAGUAAUUAAUAAUCUUCUCUGUGAGUUCAAAGAACGGAAGUCAGGAAUUUCAAUUUUUUGUAAUGGAGUCUGGUAGGAUACUUAGAAAAGUUAAGACUUGAAGGCGGAUUUCAAAAGUGGUUUAAAUGAUCUGAUAUUGCAUUGUUGCCCCAACCCUAUCAAAACUUGCACCAGUUUAUUAUCAAUUGAGGUUCUCUUCUUCUUUUUUUUUAUUUUCCCUUUUCCCCUUUUUUGGCCUUCUAGCAUUUCAUUCAUUUUUUGAAAUUUUUAAAAUUUGGGCCAGUUUAUUUUUAACUGAGGUUUUUUUUUUCAUUUCCUUUUGUUCCUCUAUCACUUUUCACCUCUUAAGGCUUUUCUUUCCUCUCUUUUCAACGCAAACUUACUCCAGUGUGGGGUUUGCGAUCCUUAGGGGUUGCCAAAUGAAAAUAAUUUAUUCUGAAGGUUCAAAAGGGAUAACUAGGGAUAGAAGGUUUGAUUGGAAAGGAAAAAGACCUGACUUUCAUUCCAUUCUCCGUAUUAACCCUGAAAGGAAACUUUCGUUUAUCAUAUUAAAUAUUUUUCACACAUAUCCGAAUUGAUCGGUUGAGGGAAAUCUUGUCCAUCCAUUUCUACAAGAACAAGUGCUCCACCAGGCAAUACCUUUUUGACAAUAAAAGAAUCUUGUCAAUUUGGGGCAAACUCUUCUUUUGGGCUCAUCUUGCACCGACAAAAGCUACUUCAAUGCUUUGUCUCCUUCUUCGGAUAGUUGCGGUUUGAUCUUCUUGUUUUAAGCACGGGCCAUUCUCUUUUGUUAACACUAAUCAUGACAAAUGGCAUUUAGCUGUUUCUUAUCAAGUGACUACUGACUUUUAUUUCUUUAAUCUUGAUCCCAAUUCGGCUUGAGUUUCUCUUUAUACCAUUUGGGCCUCUUUGAAAUAUUUUCAAAUGUCUCUUCGCUAUUCCUCUCAUUUUGAAAUCCAAAUUUACAUUCGUGAGAUUCGAGAUUGCUGUCAUCAAAUUUCGGAACAGUGAUAGUCAAAGGGUCAGAGGAUUUUAUUGUUGGCCAUCUGAAAAAAAUGCGUAAGUAACACAGUAUAUAUAAAACUAUACAGUUUAUUGAAUUUCAAAAUAAAGUUCAAACUUAAUAGCAUGUUACUUAUUAAACAAGACGUAUCUUCAAAAAUCACUUGAUUCAAAAUUAUUUACAAAAAUAUAGUUAAACAAAAGACACACACAUGAAUGAUUUUCAUAGAUUUUAACCAAAGACAAUUCCUCAAAUUUAUAAAAACGCCCUUCAAGAGGGAGGGAUCUCACUAGUUCAGGAUUUUCAAAUUACUUCAUUGGGGACAAAUGCCUCAAAGAUGUCCUUAUGUUCGGGACAGGGUUUUGUACUUAUGCUCGGUCCUUAUUCUCCCAUUUUCCUUAGCACUAUAUCUCCUGCUUCAAUCAUAUCCUGAAUUUUAUGUUUCAAUACCCAACAAUUAUUGACGGAAUGCCCAAGAGCUCCAGAAUGAUAAGUGCAGACGGCUUGAGGGUCAUAAUUAGGGGGAACACCCCUAGGAUAGAUCUUGGGAGGCAUAACAUCAAUUUUUCCGGCAGCUUUGAAUUGUUCGUUUAAUUGAUCAAUGGGUCAGCCCAGGUUGGUGAAGGUUCGAUAUGGGGUUGGGUUUCGAGUUUCACUGUUUAGAGGAUAAGUUUGGUUAUUUGGUUGAACAGGUCUUGGAUUAUAAGGAGAGGAGGUCGAGUUUGAAAAUUGGGUAUUGGGACGAGUAGUAUAAAUGGGUUUGCAUAAUUUGGCCGAGGUCGAGGGUGAUUGAUAGUAGUAUGGUAAAUAGGGCGUGGGUUUGGAUAAUAUGGGUAGGGUGAUGAAUAUGUGGGGUAUUGCUGAAAUCUAGGUUGGGAAGAAAAGCCUUAGUCCCAGACUAAUGCGGCUUCCCCAUCUUUCUUUUUGAACUGAGGCGUCUUGCUACUGCUUCUUGCAUUUUGCAAGGCUUCUAAUUGCGAUUUCAGAGCUGACACAUUAACAAUCUUUCCCGCUCUUACAAACUCAUCAUAUUCGUUCAAUUUGUUGACAAUUUCUGCAAACAAGCAUCUAGUCAUGCAAAAAUUUCCUCAAAAGAGGACAGGUCAUGAGUUUUGAUAAAUGUUUGAACAAUUUCAUCCUCGGUUAUAGGAGGUUCCACCUUGAUAGCCAAUUUCCUCCAUCGCUUCGCAUAAGUCUUGUGAUUCUCAGAUGGUUUCCUUUUAGUGCAUUUAAGCGUGGUUCUCGUUGGAGCAAGUUCACAAUUGUACUCGUAUUGUCUCACAAAAGCAGUUGACAAAUCCAACCAUGUUCUCAUUUCUUCAGGCUUUAAAUUGGAAUACCAAUCCAGGACAUCGCCUUCCAAGGUCUCCGGGAAUAAACGUAUUGGCAAAUUUUCAUCAUAUACUGGCUUUUCCAACUUAUUUGCAAAUAGUCUUAGAUGCGUUUUGGGGUUACCAGUUCCAUCAUACUUACUAAAUUUGGAUGUUUUAAAACCCAAAGGCAAUUGCAUGUCCGGAAAAAGACACAACUCAUCAUAAUCCAAAACUCCAGGCUUGCUCAAUCCUUGAAUUUUUCUUAUGAAUUCAUCAAAUUUAUUUAACCUUUUCAACAGAUUUUUGUCUAUUGGGGGUGGAGGAUUCACCCUUUUUCACCUUUCCUUGCAUAGCAGCAUCCAGCAUGAAUGGCUCAGUGGUGGUGUGAUGAACUAUUUGAGAGUUUGGGUAAUUCUGAAACAUUUGAAUGCUGGCCAGGUUGACUUGGAUGUUAUGAGGGUAAUUAUAUGGAAAACUGGAAGCAGGGUAGGUGAAAGUCUUUUCGGGUAUAUUUGCAAAGGAUGGUGCAAAGGUAACUUGGGUAUGAGAUAAAGGAGAUGGUUGGUGUUCUAUUUCAGGUUGACUAAUAGGCAUGGGAUCAUGUUGGAUAUCGCCACUGCUAGCAACCAGUUGGUCAAUCAUGCGCCUUUGGGUUGACAUUUCCACGCUCAAUUCAUUGAAUUUGUUUAACAUCUCACUCAGUUGAACUCCCAAAUUUGCAGUGUCUGCUGGAGGUGUCGUGGUGGACCGGUCAGAUGAUUUCGGAUGUGCACUCAUGUUUACACGGUUUCUCAAAACUCGACUGCGAGAUCGUGUGACGAUGGGGUUUCUUCUUAUAGUUAUGUUUACAAUUACCUGAAAAUUUAGGAAAACCCUAUUUAGAUUCCCUUCUUGAUUAACUGCUGUCAAAAGAAAGAAAAAGAAAAAGACACGAGUUAGUACAAAUUAAAGUAAUUCGAAUGCACGUUCUAUUGGGGGAGCCCUUUUUGUGCCAAGGGUAGCCCUAACAUGAGAAUGCAAUCCUUUAGGGUAGGCACGUACAAUACCUGAUGAAUCCGAUCAACUUAUUGAUAUUCAAGUGAAAACCAAUUUGAAAGAAUUUGACCAAUUGGAGUGAGAAAACACAUAUGUCCUAACAAAAUGAGAACAAAGUCCGAAUGGAUUGAUUACUUUGAUUAAUACUUAAAGUGAUGUGUGAAAGAGCCUACUCUUGAAAGGAUUGCAAUGCCUUGACUAGUUUAUUUAGUGAACCUUAGAUCGAAACCCUAAAAGAGAAUAAACGGGUCAAAUAGAUCGGAUGAAAUUGAUGAACUUUGCUGGAUCGCCCUAAAAAUGGGUAAACUGGUCAAAUGGAUUAAAUGAAAUUGAUGAUUUAUUCAAAAUUCACUGGAUCACCCUAAAAAUGGGUAAACUGGUCAAAUGAAAUUGAUGAUUUAUUCAAAAUUGAUUGGAUCACCUUAAAAAAUGGGUAAACUAGUCAAAUGAAAUUGAUGAUUUAUUCAAAAUUGACUAGAUCACCCUAAAAAUGGAUAAAUUGGUCAAAUAAAAUUGAUGAUUUAUUCAAAAUUGACUGGAUCACCCUAAAAAAUGGGUAAACUGAUCAAAUGAAAUUGAUGAUUUGUUCAAAAUUGACUGGAUCACCCUAAAAAAUGGGUAAACUGGUCAAAUGAAAUUGAAGAUUUAUUCAAAAUUGAUUAGAUUGUCCUAAAAAUGAAUGAAUGGAUUGAGUUAAUGAUUUAUUAAAAAAUGACUAAAACUUGUUCUAAAAGUGAAUUGAUCUAAUGAUUUUGUGCUAGUGCCUCUUUCUUCUUUUUUUUUCAGUUGGCCAAAACCUACUUGGCUCGCGACUUUCCUUUUUUUUUUUUUGAGUUGCUGAAGCUUUCAGCAAUGGCAUACAAUAGUAGCGGCUCUCCCCCUCCCCUUCUUUUUUUAUAACUUUUCAACAUAUUUGGGUAAACCCUAUUCAUCCCAUAAUUAAAAUUUAAUACUCUAAUCCUACUAAUCCAGAUAUGAAUCCUCCUAAAUCUCUCAUACAAGCAUAUAUAUAUAUAACAUAAUACAUAGCCGUAAAAUCUUUAGAAUAAUUAAUGCGACUAAUUGAACUUAAAAGAGAAGUUUUCACGUGAAUUUGGGACUUACAGGUUUAGGUGCCUAGUUGCCCAAUUGAUUGAUAGCGACGUCAUCUUCUCCUUCUCUACUUUCUGACGGCUCUUGCUCUAAGGGGAGGCAGACAAUGAAAGGUAGGAAUGAUGUUUUUUUUCUUUGUUAUUUUGAUAAGUGCGCUAAACCCUAAUAACCACCCACUAGUAGAUGGGUUAGAUAAGAGUUUAAAUGUUAUGAACUUUUACUCUAUUUUAUCUCAUUUCUAUCCUCCAAUUAACCCUUUAAUCUAUCCUACACUUACUUUUACUUUUACUCAUAGUAAAUUACCAUUUAGUUAAUUGGGCAAGAAUUAAAAAAAAAUGAGCCAAAACCGUGGGUUUUACAUUCUACCCCCCUUACAAAAAGUUUCGUUCUCGAAACUUACGUACAUUGAUAAAAAAGAUAGGAAUAUCUAUUUUGCAUGUCUUCUUCUAACUCUCACGUUGCCUUUCGCAGUGUAUGGUUCAACCAUUGUACCUUCACGUAGGGUAUGGUCCUUCUUCUUAGAACUUGAUCCUUCCGAUCCACGAUUCUUAAAGGGACUUCCUCCACUGACAAGUUCUCCCUCACCUCGAUGGGUUAAUUCUCGGGUCUGACACAUACUUUCUUAGUUGGGAGACAUUAAAAUCGUUAUGUAUCCUGAACAGAACAAAUGGAAGAGCCAGUCGAUACGCUAAAGGUCCAACUCUCUCCAGUAUUUCGUAAGGUCCUAUAUACCUUGGACUUAACUUGCCACUUUUUCCAAACCUCAACACUCCUUUGGUGGGGAAUACUUUCAAAUAUACCUUUUCUCUCGAUUGAAAUUCUAAAGGCCUUCUCUGUAAAUUCGCCCAAUUUCUUGUUUCGGUCCUGAGUUACUUUUAGUCUCUCUCAAAUAACUUUAAUCUUCUCCAAGAUUCUUUCCACCAAAUUGGGUCCGAUGAUCAACUUCUGAUAGGUCAUAAUUUGUUGCUAAAUUUAUAAUUAUUUUCCCUUUGAUUUUUAGCCAAAUAUUAUUUUAAUUGUCGAAUUCUACUUAUAUUUGGUGUUUUAUAUUAUUUGCAGGGCAUUGGAGUAAAAAGUGCUAAAGAGAGGUAAUUUUCUUAGAGUUGAUUGUCAAGCGUAAGUGUUCCAAUUCAAGAUGGAGUCUAUGUGGAGCAUUGGUUGAAGAUCAGGAAACUGCCACCUUUUAUUAGAUAUUUUAUUAGGGAAUAAUUAGCAUUAUUUUUUAGAAGGUUUCCCUUUUUCAAUUAGAAUUGGAGUUUUAAUUCUUUUGCGGGCCUUUAGUUAGUGGAGGCCAAGAUAUUAGUACUUGAUAGGAAACAAAGCAAAUAAGAGGAGAAAAAGCCGGAUCCCGCAGGAUGAGGACUCAGCUAGGUAUCUCACAUGAUUACUACUUGGCCAGGGAAUAAGAAAAGAGAAGAAGGCAACCGCUUGGCUCUCUGCUCCGCAGAGUAGUUCUUUUACUAUCGAACAUUGACGCAAUUUCGUGGAGGGGACUUGCGUGAGUUACUCUCAAUGGAGAGUAACUAAUCUUGUUUUCUAGUCAAUGGACAAUUGAAGAUUUGGUUCAACAAUAACUGUGAGAUCUAAAUUAUUUUAAUUGUUUCCUUCAUUUAUUGGUAUUUGUAUACUUUCUGCUUUUAAUUGUUGUUAUAACUAUCGUGUAUAAUUGAAUAAAUGCGCAAUAUUUAAUUAUUCACGUAGGCUAUUUGCUAAUUGAGGGUAGUUGAAUCCGUAAUUGUUCGAUUACCUCUGUCCUAGUAGCAACUGGCAUAAUUGGAUUUAUGUCAGGGAAACAUACGAUCUAAUUUAAAUAAACCGUCGUAGCGUGUUUAUUAGUUAGGAUUGGGCCUUUCUAAACCUUAAUGCAAUCUAGAAAUUAAAUCCUACGGUCAUACCUAGGGUUGUUUCUUGGUUAGAAAAAUAGUUAAAGGUCGUACCUUAACUAUCGAGAAAUUAAGAAAAGGCUGGUUGUUUAUCGCGUGUAUGACAACUAUAACCGAUCUAUUGAUAACUGUUGGAAUUAUAUUUGCAUCGAUGAUCAGUUGCAUGAACCAUUUCUGAAAUGUAUCCUUGGCUAGAGUCUCUGCAGUUAUUUCUGUCAAUUAAUUAUUUUUUGCAUUUAAUUUAUUUAGUUAGCAUUUAAUCCAAAAAUCCUCCAUGCUCUGAACUCUAGAAGAAAUGAAUUAUCCCCAAUCCCUGUGGAUUCGACCCUACUCACCGCUAUAUACAAAAUUUGUAUUUUUCUCGAGUAGGUAUUUAUUAUUGCACAGGCUCGACACCUGUCAAUUUUUAGUGCUGUUGCCGAGGACUGGUGCCUGAUUAAUUUGUUUCUUUUUGAGUUAAUCUUGUUUUCAAUUUUUUUUAUUUUUCUCUUAUUUUUUUUAUAUAUAAUUUAUGGCUGCUAACAUUCCGUAUUUUGGUGAUAGACUGAAUUUUAUUUCUAGAAGGGGUUAUGAGGCUUAUGCUUUUUCUAAUAAUCAAUGGACUGCUACAAAUUGUGAAAUUUAUUUUUUCUCAAAUCAUUCAAUCGACAUAUACCAUACAUUUCAAGAUGGUCUAAGUGUUCCAAUUGAUACUUUUGGAGAUUUUUUACCUCAAUAUCAAACGUGGUAUGACCCUUAUUCAAAUGGGUAUGAGCAAGGGUGGUGGGAUGAUUCCAAUUUUAAUUAUGAACAAAGGCCAAUAGAUUUUCAACAGUUAGAGUCUCAAGAACUGUCAUCCAUGUCAGGUAUGUCUCUUAAAGAAAUAGUUGAAUUAAUAGCUACUAACACAUAUCAAAUUCAACAGGAGACACAUCAAAUUCAACAGGAGACAAUGGAUUUUCAUCAGGAGACAAUGAUUUUUCAUCAGGAGACACAAGCGAGCAUGCGUAACCUGGCAGAUCAAGUUAAUCAAUUGACAUAUAGGAUAACACAAUUGACUUCUCAAAUGUGUGAAGAAUUGCCCUCACAGACUAUUAUAGAUCAUGAGGAAGAUGAGAGUGCAAUUAUCCUGACAAAUGACAUGGAGCUGCAAGAAUCUCAAGAAGAAGAAUCUAAAGAUGCAGUUGAAAAUGGCAUUGAAGUGCAAGAAAUGAGACCUCAAUAUCAAAUUGUUCAAAUGAAUGAAUCCAGUGAACAAUCUCCAAAUGCGGUGACAUCUCCUCCAUUUCUUAAUCAAUAUCCUCAUGACUCUUGUUCUUUAAUUCCUGUUAGUGAGAUUGAGUUUAUUAUACCAGACGAUUUUGAGUUUCAUGAUAGGAAUAAGUUAAGAGUUACAAUGACAGAAUAUUUCGAACCAAUAAGUGCUCGUGAUGGAGGAGUGAGUGAAGAUUUAAGGUCAUCACUUGUUUGUUUGGCGCCAUCUACUAAUCCAUGGAAGACCGUAUCUCGUGUGUUUAAAAAUUACUCUAUUUACGAGAGAUAUCAGGACUACAUAGAAGAUGAAGCGCUGAAACGAGUUACACGAUUUUAUCCUCCGUGAAUAAACAGGGCAAUGUCUAACCAAAGACAUUAAAGAAAGGCGCUGCUUGGGAGGCAACCCAAGGCCUUUGUUUUAGUUUCCUUAUAUUUUUGGAGUUUUUGUUAAGUGUUAGUUGCAUUUAGUGAUUUGUUUCUUUUGUGGCAGGAAGCUGGUAGUUGGGCGUGCCCGCGUCUAGUAAGCACACCUAAGGAAUGCAAGUAUUUUUUUGCGGUCAGAAGACUACUUAGUAGUUAGACGUGCCCACGCUUAAGGGAGGCAAUUUUCAUUUGCGGUCAGAAGACUCUAUAGUAGUUAGGCGUGCCCACGCCAAGUGGUCACGUGUAAGGAACUUAAUUUCUGAAAAUUGGUCAGAAGACUCUCUAAUAAUUAGGCGUGCCCACGCCAAGUGGUCACGUCUAAGGAACUUAAUUUCUGAAAAUUGGUCAGAAGACUCUCUAAUAAUUAGGCGUGCCCACGCCAGGUGGUCACGCUUAAGGAUCUUAAUUUCGGACGGUUGGUCAGAAGAUUCGAAGGCAGUUAGGCGUGCCCACACCUAACACAGGGGUUCCUUUAUUCAAAAAAAAGUCCCUCACUGCCUGUUCUCAUCUUUGUUCAAACAAAGGAUAAAAGGAAGAACCGACCAAUUUCACCUAUGUUAUAGCUGCUCGAGAUCCUCCAUUACGUGCUCAGGGAAGUUUCGUUGUCCCUUUUGUUUCGUAUUAUAUUCUUUAUCUCUUACAUUGGGGAUAAUGUAAGAUUUAGGUGUGGGGAGAGUAGUAUAUUGGUAUUUUAUUGAAAAAAUGCAAGUGUAGGCAUUUUUGUUGGAUUUUUUUUAUUCGACUUUGUCGAAUUUUAUCCAAUUUUUGCCUAUUUUUGUGCAUAUUUGUGAUUAUUAUUGAUAAACGAUGGUUAGAUGUCUCAAAUUUUUCUAUUGCUAAAAUUUUACACUCUAGGGUAUUGAGUAUGAUAUGGUUAAGUUUAAGGGUAUCUCUUUAGUGAAUAGUUAAGAUUUUGUGACUUUUGCACUUUUUGAUUAACUUCUCUAAGUAUUGUAAAUAUUUGUCUAGCAUUUUUUUAUGUAAAUUGGUUCAACUAUUAAUCUUGGUUCUCCAUGAUUAAGAAAUGAAGCGGGCUUGUGUGAUCUUUAAUUUUAUUUUUGAUGUUUAUUUGAAUCAUAUUUGGCUAUACUCCGCUAGUAUUGUUGCCUAGUAACCGGAGAUUUUCACCACAAGUGUUGACUUUCGCGUCAAAAAGUGACGAUAACUAUGAGUAUGUGGUCCCUUAGCGAUGAUGGCUGAAUAACCGGGCUCCUUCAUUUGGCCAAUGUCGGAGUUCGCGUCAAAACGCUUAAAUGACUAAAGACUAAGCAUUCCCCAUGAAGAAAAAAAUCAAUCAAGUUUGGGGAUAUUUUAGAAAAAAAGUGCUAAUAGUGAAAAAUGUGAAUGAAUUGUUAGCCCGCUGAUCCAUGAAGUUUAAUGUUGAGAUUUUGCUUAAUAGUCGAACCAUUUACUUAUGGAUGCUGGUUGAAUAUUUUAUAUUUUUAGAUUAGUUGGUCAUAAAUUGAAAGAGUCAUUGAUCUUGAAAACUAAUUGGAGAGAUAUUUCUUGCAAAUUGCCCCUAAUACUUGACAUGUGUUUAAUUGUAUAUUGGCAACAGAAGAUUUGGGUAAUACCAUUGUUUGAAUUUGAUCACUUGAUUUGUGUUCUCAUGCUUGAGGACAAGCAUGGUUUAGGUGUGGGAGAAAUUGAUAGGUCAUAACUCUCUCUCAAAUAACUUUAAUCUUCUCCAAGAUUCUUUCCACCAAAUUGGGUCCGGUGAUCAACUUCUUACCUAUUUCAUCCCAAUAUAAGGGAGAUCUACAUUUUUGCCCAUAUAACAUUUCAACGAUGCCAUACCUAUUCCUCUAUGAUAGCUAUUGUUAUACGAGAAUUAUAUUAGUUUUACCAACCUAUCCCAACUAUCUGAAAAGUCUAGAGCACAAGCUCUCAGCAUGUCCUCCAGUGUCUGUAUGGUCCUUUCUAACUGUCUGUCCAUUUGGGGGUGAAGGGCGGUAUUUAGUCUUAGAUCAAUCCCCAUAACCUCUUGGUAGGUCAACCAAAAUCUAGACAUGAAUCUAGGAUCCCAAUCUAGCACUACUUUCACAAUUCAUUUUUAGACUAGAUAUCACAUUCUCUCCCCCUAAAAAGGUUUCAUCCUCGAAACCUAAAAGAUAUAAACAUCAAAAUAAGUUAACAAAAUUCCCAAUAUUCUUGCAAUACAUCUUAGGAAUUAUUCCUACAAUGUCUAAAUUGGAUUUUCUUAUUUAAUUCCAUCAAACUUCUGCUGCACACUCUCAUUUUUCUCAAUACCUCUCAUCUUCAUAUUUAUAGAGAUCAGAUGAACAGAAUAUCUCUCACAAAUCCAACAUUCUAAAUAUUAGCUUAUAAUGCUACAUAGAGAUCAACCUAUAGAAAGGAUGCCAAAAACACUAACAUUACCAUUUCUUCUUUUGUCAUACAUUUUUUCACAACUUACUUAUCCACUAUUGCAAAAAGUAAUCAUUAUCUCGAUAUAUGGGUUCCUGCCUAUUGUAAUUGGUAAUGAAAAUCUCUUAUUUCCUUCAAAUCCCAUAUCUAUCUAAUUUCAAAUUUCAAAAAAAAAAAUCAAUAAUACCUCAAAUAGCAUCACACCUAUUUUCAAAUCCUAUAACCUGAGUUGUUAUAUCACUAAAUGCCAUGGAAAUCUUAUUUCAUUUGAUCAUCAUUUUUUUUUAUCUCAAUUCAAUUUCCAAAACAAUAUUCAUAUUACGGUAGAACAUACCAAAACACACAAAAUUUUAUACAAAAAUUAUCGCCAAAUUCUCAUAUUUGAAUAUAAUAACUUCAUCAUAACUUUGGUAAAGUAUUUAUCUAUGCGUAGAAUUUCGAACUCAUACAAGUUUAGAAACCUGAAAGUGUUUGAAACACAUAAGUUAGUUAAUUGUACUUCUUAUACCAUUAGAACUUAGAGUACGAAGAGAAUUUAUUAAAAAUUAUUGUUAGAUUCUUUCUACAUGAUAUGAUUUUUUUUUUAUGUAGAACACGUUUAUCUAUAGCUCGUUUUGAGAUUGGAUGAGUAUCAUAAAGACAUUUUGUACAGGGUUCUGGGAUACAAUUAUUUAUGGUGAUUAUUCACCUUUAUUGUUAAUUUAUGUAUCUUUGUGUAUACAUAUUUAUAGAAAUUAUACUUAUUUGAUAAAGAUACUUAUUCAAAAAUCUUGAUUAACAUUUGUUCGUGAAAUAAUUUUUUUUUAAGACAAGAACUAUGUAAGAUUAUGUAUUCUAAGAAAUUUCUAACAUAUUUAUUGACCAAGCACAGUGUAAUAAUGCCAAUAAACUAAUUCAAUAAUUAUCUGGGGCAUGAGAUCUAAUCGUUGUAAAUCUCAAAAAGAGACAAGUCUAUUCACUCUUGGCCAUAUCUCCCACCGAAUGAGUACUAUUGCUAGACUUAUCAAUUUGUAUGGGAUAAGGCCAUACACCUGUUAGUUGUCACCAGUAGUGGUAAUAAUUCAAUUAGAGUAAAAUGGUACCAGCAUUAGUAGUACUUCUAUCCAGGUAAGAGCACUAUUUAUAGAGCUCUAUUACAAAAAGAAAAGGUUCGCAACAUUUCAUUCUUCAUCCUUUGAAAUGGUUUCAUCCGUGAAGCCUAAUCCCACGUCAAGAUAAGUCUAUAUAACAUCCCAUAUCGUUGUUACCCAUCGUGCAAUUAAUUCUACACAACUUAAACUGGGUCUCUUUAUUCACUCCAUCACACUUGCUACGUACUUUUAAUUCCUUGACACUUUCAAUUUCCUAUAGACAGUACUUCAAAUAUAUAUAAUAUUUCCUACACGUCCAACAUCUUAAACUUAGAUUGUACUACCAAAAUCAUAUUCAACAAAAGGACAUCAUAAACACCAAUAAUACCAUUUCAACUUAAAUAACACAUACAAAUUUUCAAGCCUAUUUAUUCAGUCACAAUUGAUCAUUUUCUAGUGUGUAUUUCCUCUAAAGAAUAAAUCGUACCCUACGCUCUGUUAUCACUAAAUAUUAUGGAGCUCUCUUAUUUCACAAUCCUCUAUCCAACCUCAUUCAAAUUUCUAAAAUCACUAAUAUUACAAACAUCAUUCAACAUACAUCUAGAUCGUAUAAUCUAAACUUUGAUAACAUUAAAUAUCACGAGAAUCUCUUAUUUCCUUUAAUCCACUUUUUUUUCAUCUCAUUUCAAUUCUUAAAGUUUCUAAUACCUCAAACACCAUUUACAUACUUCCGGAUCAUAUAACCUAAGCUCUGAUACCACUAAAAAUGUCAUAGGAAUCUCUUAUUUCCUUUUAUCUGUUUUUAUUUUCAAAAUCAUUAAUAUCUAAACAUCAUUUCUCAUACUCCCAGACCAUAUAACCUAGGCUCUGAUACCACUAAAAAUGUCACGCCCCGAGGCCGCACGCGCUAGUCAUGUGACAUUUGCCAUAUCAUCAAGUCUCGUUCAAGAAUACAAGGCAACAUCGAACUAGACUAAAUUCAAAAAGUACUAAAUAGUAUAACUAAAGAAAGUGCGGUACAAAUUUCCAGUGAAGGAUAGUCUACGAAUAUUCAAUAAGUUCGUACAUUUAUUCUCUAGUAGAAAUAGCGGAAACAAAAGUAAAUAAAACUAACAACUAGAAGUAGCUAGCAUGCUAACUUCUGUUAACUUAAAAACUAAUAAAAGUCCUCCUCAGGGUCUUCUACGUAAAUCAACUCAUACUUUUCAGAAUCUGCAAAGAUGGUAAAAAGUGGGUUGAGCGAAAAGUCGUUUAGUAGGUAAUAUCUACCCCUAUGUUGAACCAUGCACUCAUAACUUUAUAGAUACGUACAUAUAUAAAUCAAAUUAUUUUCACAUUAUUCACAUCAAUAAUCAUGAAAAUAAUGUUAUGGGUAAAACAAUUAGUAGUAACGAGUGACAAAGCAAUUUCAAAGCAUCUUAUUGGUAAUCGCAGAUGAAAGUCAUAAAGUCAUAGAUAAUUUCAUAUCAAUUCAUAAGUCUCUUCAUAUCAGCUCACAAUAAGCACAUGUAAUGACCGACUAUUGAGUACUCAGACUAGAGAUUAAACCCAUUAGGUGGGCGACCAAUAGGUUUCAUGACUACCGAUUGGUCUCAUUACAUAUAUGGGUCAAUCGACCGGACUCUAUACCAAACUACCAUGAUCUUGUCAAUCGGCCGGACUCUAUACCAGGAUACCAUGACCAUUAGACACGACUAUAACCCCUACCGUCUAUUCCAUGACUGUUUUGAGCUUUUCUUGACAUAAAUUCAUUUCACACGUCAUAUGCAUAGUUCUUGAUUUCAUAAAAGGUACAGCUUAUUUGGUAUAUAAUAACAUAUCAAGAAGUUUCAAAUAAGUCACAUGGUCCAUUUUUAUAUAGUCAAAAUAGAACUUCCUUAAACAGUCAAGUAAAUCAUUCAAUCAAAACAAUUCAAAUUAACACGUAAAAAUAUAAUCGAUGACAAAAAUUUUACUUUAAACUUUUGAAAUUUCAGAAGGAUAAGUACCAUCUACCUUUAUCUGGCUGCUCGAGUAAAACUACCUUAGAUCUUUUAAACUUGUAUCGUACAUAUCAAAUGCAUAGGUAUUCUAAUUAGUUGAUAUUUCUUAUAAAUGCAUAAAUAUACUAACUCUGAGUAAAUUUAAAAUUCAUGUCUAAACCAUUAUAUGAACCCUAGUAGAGUUUUUUUCCUAUAUUGAGAAGUUUCUAUUUUUGAAAAGUUUCUUAAUUUGGAAGGUUUUCCUUUUUUGUAAAGUUUCCUAAUUUAGAAAUAAUUAUUUGUAAUCACAUUUAUUAUCUUGACCAUUGUACGUAUUUAACUAUACAUAUAUAUUUAUUAUUAUUUUAUUAUUCAUUGUUAUUGUUGUUGUCCUUGUCAUCACUAUUUUAUUUUAUUAUCAUUUAUAUAUAUAUUUGUUAAUUAGUUACUAUUAUCUUUUGCUUUACUUCCUUUUUUUUUGCGCAUGUGUAGGUGUUAUUAUUAUUUAUAUGUAUAUAUAUUGGCUUAUUAUUAUAAUUAUUUCCUUAGUUUAUUUCACUUGUAUUUAUAUUUUCAUUUUAAUCUUUAAUUUACUUCAUCUAUAUCUAUAUUGUCAUUAUUAUUGUUAUUAUUUUAAGCAUUUAAAAGAAAUCUAAAACCUAUCUUAUAUUGUAUAACUUAAUCUAAUAGUGAUAGAUUAAAAUGUCUUAGAUUUCUAUUUAAAUACCUUAGGCCUAAUUAAAUAAGCCCGAUUGGCGAAAUCUUUUAAAAUAUUCACUUAAUUUAGGUUGGGUCUGGAAAUUUAGUUUCUAUGUUAGUCCAAAAAUGUGGGUUGAUUAUACCUAAAAUUUAAUUAUUGGACAUUCACUUAACCCAUAUUAUAUAUAUAUAUAUAUUUUUUCAGAAUCUAUUACUAUUAAUAUGAUUUUUUUUUUGGUUUCGGCCAACCUUUCUAAUGGAGCCUCUGUCGCCAGCACUUGCUGGCAGAUUUUUUUUUUUUUCUUUUGGUUGGCCGAAAGGUUUCGACCAACCUUUCUAAUGGAGCCUUAAGUGCUAGCGGCUCUUUCUUUUUUUUUUCGGUUGGCCUUUUCCUACUUGGUCCAUGUCGCUAGCCACUUGCUGGCGACUUUCCUUUUUUUUUUUUUUUGCAUUGCUGAAGCUUUCAGCAAUGGCGUGCCGCUGCUCUCCCCCUCCCCUUCUUUUUUUUUAUAACUUUUCAACAUAUUUGGGUAAACCUUAUCCAUCCCAUAAUUAAAUUUAAUACCCUAAUCCUACUAAUCUAGAUAUGAAUCCUUCUAAAUCUCUCAUACAAGCAUAUAUAUAUAUAUAACAUAAUACAUAGCCGUAAAAUCUUUAGAAUAAUUAAUGCGACUAAUGGAACUUAAAAGAGAAGUUUUCACGUGAAUUUGGGACUUACAGGUCUAGGUGCCUAGUUGCCUGGUUGAUUGAUAGCGACGCCUUCUUCUCAUUCUCUAAUCUCUGACGGCUCUUGCUCUAAGAGGAGGUAGAGAAUGAAAGGUAGGAAUGAUGUUUUUUUUUCUUUGUUGUUUUGAGAAGUGUGCUAAACCCUAAUAACCACCCACUAGUACAUGGGUUAGAUAAGAGUUUUAACUGUUAUGAACUUUUACCCUAUCUUAUCUCAUUUCUAUCCUCCAAUUAACCCUUUAAUCUAUCCUACACUUACUUUUACUCUUACUCAUAGUAAAUUAUCAUUCAGUUAAUUGGGCAAGAAUAAAAAAAAAUGAGCCAAAACCGUGGGUUUUACACUUAAAUAGCAGAAUUUUUCUUAAAUGGGUAAAAUACCAAAAAACUCCUUAUGGUUUACUAAAUGUUUAAUUUAACUCCCUCUGAUUUGAAAACCUACACUAUAACUCCUUGUGGUUUGAACUAAUUUGAAAAUUGGACGGAAAGUGUCCAAUCUAACUGCUAUAUGUGAAAUGUCAAUAUUGCCCCUGUAUAAAUGAACUCCCUAUAGUUUGUCGAAUGUUCAAUUUAACUCCCUCUAGUUUGAAAAAUUACACUAUAACUACCUAUGAUUUCGACUAAAUUGAAAAUUGAAUAGAAAGCAUCGUACAUAUAGUGGGGCAAUAUUGACAUUUCACACACAACCGUUAGAUUGGAUGGUUUCUAUACAAUUUUCAAUUUAGUGAACACCAUAGAGCGUUAUAGCGUAGGUUUCCAAACUAGAGGGAGUUAAAUUGAACAUUUAUCAAACCACAGGAAGUUUUUUGGCAUUUUACCCUUCUUAAAUCCGUGUACUAACUGGCUACACAUGUGUGUGAAGUGCAUUUGAAUUGACAGAAAAUCUAUCAACUGCUCAAAGAGAAAGCCACUUCACGCACAUACGUAGCCAGUUGGUAGACGGAUUAAUGAAAGAGAAAGGCACAACCAAUGAGAACGAGACACAAAGUAACUGGUAUGCAUAACACUGAAAAGUUGUAUUACUUCUUCCAUCCCAUUAAAAGUGUAAUACCUUCUAUUUUGAAACAUUCCAAAAUGUUUGUCAAAUUAAAGUCACUUUUGAUUUUUUUUCAAUGUUGUCCUCAUCUUUAUCGAUAUUUUAUACUAAAUUCAAAUUUAAAACUUGAAUUUUUAAAGGUAAUUUUGGAAACGAAUCCUCUAACAACAGUAUCAAUCCACUAUUAUUAAAAAGUUGAAAUCCUAAAAUGCAACAAACAUUUCUAAGAGAGUAUAAUUCAAAGAAUUAUAUGUCAAACGUAGGCACAACAUGUUUUGUCCAUGUGAAACGUGACACAUAACGUCCAAGCUGAAAUGAAAACGUGUUAGUAGCGUAGAGCACUAAUAGGCAGUGUUUUGAUACCUAAGUUGAAUCAGCCGGUUCAACCGGUUAGAUCGCGAACCAAUCACGGCUCCAGUCCUAGCACCUUCCACUUACAUCAUUUUCACACUUUUUUAGGGACAUUUGAGGGGAUGUUGCAGCAACAUUUUGGGAGCUCCAAGACCGCUUUUUCUUGAUUCUCUGGCAACAAGAAACAACUAGAAAUAUAGGAGUAAAGACUUAGUUUUCUUGAACAUAUUUCUCUAGUUUUUUUAGUUAGCUUAGUCUUUCAUUUUUCUUGGAGAAUUCUUGGAGAACUCUUGAUGUGCUCAAUAUUUUGAAGACAAUGAAGAUAAUGGAAAUUGAAAACUCUUGUUUCUUCAAUUGAAUGAGUAAUUUUUUCACUCCUUCUUUCUUUAUUGUUGGAUUUAUGUUUGGUUGCUGAUAAGUUACAUUUUUGUUAUUAAAUUUGUGAUUAUUUCCCCCUUGAUUUUAGCCAAAUAUUGUAUUAAUGGAUAAAUUCUACUCAUAUUUGGUAAUUUGUGCUAAUUGUAGGAAUAUGAUGAGAAAAGGAGUAAAAAAUGGUUUAAUGAAAAUUUUUAGCCAGUUCUUUGUGGGCCCGUUCAAAUCCUACUAUCAAGUCUCGGAGGCUCGAGAUUUUACUACGAGCGGUAGUAUCCCAGUUCGAAUGGAAGUUCUUCGAAGCAUGUUUCCUUAUCUGAGAUAAUUGGUCUUUCUUUUUGUAUUAAGAAACAAAUAGGUUAUAUUUUGUCAAUUUAGGGAAUCUCCUUUUCUUUGAAGAAAAUUAGGAAGUAUUAGUAGUUUAGGAGAGUAAGAGACGUGAGAACAAGGAAGUCUUCUUGUUUGCGUUGGCUUUAAAAAGUCAUGGUUGUUUUUAGCGAAAGGGGUGAUUAGUCUUGGCAGUCAGCACCAAGGAAGAACGAAGAGUUUUUCUCUUCGUCUUUUCUUUUCUAUUGCUCCUUCUGUUGUCGAACCUCAGGCAACUUUCGUCAACGAAAUUGCCUGAGUUAUUUUCAAUGGAAAGCAACUAAUCCCUUUUUCUAGUCAAGGGUCAAUUUGAAGAUACGGUUUCAAAUAUCUAUGAGAUUGAAUUAUUUUUAUUUAUUUCUUUUAUUCAUUAGUAUUCGUACGUCUUCUGUUUCAACUUCUUAUGAUUAUUUUGUUAUUUGAAUGUCAAGGACCCGAUAUUUGAAUUAAUCUAAUAAUCUACUGCCAUAUUAAUCAAUUAAAUUCGUAAUUGUUUGAUUGAUUAAUACUAAUGGCAACUAGCGUGAUUGGUUUCAUGUUAGGAAAACGUAUAAUCUAACUUCAAUGAACCUUCGUAGCGUAUUUGUUAGUUAGGAUUGAGUUUUUCUAAUUUUUAAUGCAAUUGAAAAAUUAAACCUAUGGUCAUAUCUAGAGUUGUUUCUUGGUUAGGAAAAUAAUUAAUGGUCGUGCCUUGACUAUUGAUAAACUAAGGAAAAGUUGGCUAUCAAAACUUAUUGAUGGUUAUAACCAAUUUAUUAAUGAGUGAUUAAAUCAUUCUUGCAUCAAUGAUCAAUUGUAUGAAUCGUAUCUGAAAAGUUGUACCUUUGAUUAGAGUCAUAUUUAUUGUUGAUUUAAUUCCUAUUUAUUUCAUUAAUUGUUUCUUUAAUUGGUUAGUGAGUUAUUUCUAAAUUGUCUAAAAAUUCCCCUUACUUUAGGCUCUAAAAAGAGACAAAUUUUUCUCAAUCCCUGUGAAUUCGACCCUACUCAUCACUAUAUACAAAAAUUUGUAUUUUAUUUGAAUAGGUAUUUUUUAUUGCACAAUCUCGACACCUCUCAGUUGCAUUAAAGCCUUAAGCUUUUCUAUUCUAUCUACUAUUUUUUUAUUCAAAAGGCAAUUUUAUUAAGUAGAAAGCAUGCACUUGUUUUUCAGAUAUGUAUGCAAAAUGUGGAAGGUUGGACCUAGCACGUCUAGCUUUCUUCAGAAUUUCCAAAAAAGACACUGUUUCUUGGAACUCGAUGAUUACUAGCUAUUGCUAGCAAUUGAUCUUUUCUAUCAGAUGGGUUUAGAAGGAGCAAAAUAUGACUCUGUUAGGAUAUCUGCAGCUCUUUGCACAUGUGCAGACUUACAGGCACUGCAUUAUGGCAAAGAAAUACAUGGAUUCAUGAUUCGAGGAUCAUUUAGCUCAGAUCUUUAUGCUGAGAGCGCAUUGAUAGACAUGUAUGCUAAAUGCAGACACUUAGAAUUAGCAUGUACUGCUUUUGACUUGAUGAAGUGCAAGAACGAAGUUUCUUGGAAUAGCAUAAUUGCUACUUAUGGGAACCAUGGACACCUUGAGAAUGCUUUGGCUCAACUGAAUGAAAUGAGGGAAAAUGGAUUCCAGCCUGACCAUGUCACUUUCCUCGCCAUAAUAACUGCUUGUGGCCAUACUGGCCAAGUUGAAGAGGGCAAGCAACUUUUUGAGUGCAUGACCUAAGAAUUUGGAAUUACAGCUCGAAUAGAACACUAUGCAUGCUUAAUAGAUUUGUUUGGCCGAGCUGGUCGUCUUGAAGAAGUACAUCAAGUGAUUAGGAGCAUGCCAUUUACUACAGAUGCUGGCAUAUGGGGCAUGCUACUCGGAGCCUGCCAUGUCCAUGGCAACGUUGAACUAGCUGAAUUGGCUUCAAAUCAUCUUUUUGACUUGGACUCGCAAAAUUCUGGAUAUUAUAUGCUCCUAUCAGAUGUGAAAGCUGACACUGAAAAGUGGGAAGGGGUUAACAAAGUAAGAAAUAUGAUGAAGGAAAGAGGAGUGCAGAAAGCUCCUGGUUACAACGCAAUCUCGCAACUCAGGAAUACGUGGUUUAACAAUUCUUCAUUCGGGCAGAAGAGACAUUUGGAUGGGAGGUUGAAACCAAACUAUUGUAAAAUUUCUGGAAAAGGCAGCAAGGAGUACAGCAGCUGCCACAUGAAGAUGGAAAUUUUGUAUGGUAGUCGUUUAUCCCAAAUCAGCAGAUGUGAGACCAUUGAGGCACCUUGUGAGCGCAGCUGCUGUAGUGCUGAAGAUAUGCUAAAGAGUCCAUUGGAUGAGGGACACCAUGCUAGACGAUCAUCACCAUUUGAGAUGGAGAUUUGGGGAGGUCCGAAUGUCAUGUAUCUCACUAGGGGAUAAGGCACUCUCGACAGCUUGUAAGUUCCAAGACCCAUUUUCCAAACAAUUGCUGACUUGCACUCCCGGGCAAGGGACAUAUGCCUUCCCUAUAGCAAGAAAGCCCAUACCCAACAAGUUUUCAAACCAAAAGGAUGAACGACCUGUGCAUAUCAACCAUCACGAGUGAUCCUCCGCAAAAUCUCGAGCUCGUAGCAAUCAUCGCCAUGUCUUCGAUCCUUUGCUGGACGUUGGUACCUGGAUUAAAUGUGACUAUUGCCCGUAUUUCACAGACAUGAAACGGGUCCAUAACGUAGAGGUAGUUCGUAGCCACCACCAAAGCUUGCAACUAAAUGCCUGCAGCACAGCGUCUAGUGCCAUGAACCCUAAGCCAUCCUUCUCGACUGGUUUACAUAGUUCUUCCAUUCCCUCUAAUGUCUCCUCUCCUUCCCCUCGACCUAGCCAUAGAAGAAGGUAGCAAAAAUGCAUUCCAUUUUUCGUAAAGUCCUUGUUGGGGGCUCCAAAACAGCCAUGAUAUGUUGGGGAAUUGACAUCAGGACGUGCUUGAUAAGCAAUGCGCGACCCCCAGCUGAUAAUGCCUUGGUUUUCCAGCCAACUAGCUUCAUUCUCAUUUUUUCAAUUAUAUGCUGAAAAUUCACUCGACUUGGUCUGCCUUUUGCUAGCGUGCAGCCUAGCUAUUGAAAAGGUAACUGGCGAACUUUAACAUCUAGCCAUUGGGAUAUCUGUCAUGAUCUAGCCGUCGAGCAUCGUAAGAAGAUACUCCCUCCCUUUUUUUAUAACUGACGUUUAAGAAAUUUGCUCUAGUGUACUUUUAUCUAUCAUUUUAUUAUCCCCAUACAGCAUUAAUUACUUUUUCACAAUUUUACCCUUUUAUCUCUCUGGUAUUAAUACACUCUCAUGCAUUGCUUUUGGCCUAGUAAAACAGCACCAUUUAGUACUAUAGUGAGAGAAAACAUGGGUGAAUUGGACAAUUAAUGAGGAUACAAAAGGAAAGUAGUGUACAGAUUUAAGCAUUGAAAAACUUUUCUUAAUUAGUGUGCAAAACCUUAAACGUCAGUUAUAAAAAAAGGGAGAGAGUAAUAAAGAAGCACUUGUCUUUAUUGAUUUGCUGCCCCAAGCCCAGUUGAUAAGUGUCAAGAAACUCUAGUAGUGAUUUGAUGUCUGUUUAGUGCCCCUUCAUAAAGAGCAAGACAUCGUCGGCAAAGCUCAAAUGUGCAAUUGGGAUACGUUCCCUCAGGAGGCCGAAUGGAGAGAGUUUACCCGUCGAGAGUAGGGCAUUCAAGCCUCGGUUGAAUGCUUCAACAACUAGUAGGAAUAAGUAUGGGGAGAGUGGAUCUCCUUGUUUGAUUCCCCACUCACCUUGGAAGAAGCCGAAGGGCUUGCCAUUGAUAAGUACUGAAAACCAUGCUCCUUGAAGAUUGUUCAUGACCAAGGAAAUAAACCAGCCACUAAAUCCAAAUUUACAUAGCAACUUGGAUAGAAAUUGCCAGGAUACGAAGUCAAAGGCCUUCAUCAUAUCCACCUUGGGAAUCAUGUUGUGGCCUCGAGUUUUUGUGUCUAUCGAUUUCAACAAUUCUUGGGCCAGAAGGAUAUUGUCUGAUAUUUCCCUCCCGUCGACAAAAGCAGAUUGCUCCAAUGAUAGUAGAGUAGGCAUCAAUGGUUUCAUUCGCAUACAAAGAAUCUUCGUGAAUACCUUUUUUAGGAAGGUGCAAAGACUUAUUGGUCUAAACUCGGCAAAUGUCUGCGGCUGUUCUUUUUUUGGUAGCAGUAUGAUUAAGGUGCUGGCAAUACUUUUUGGUGUUGGAACCCCACAAAAAAACCCUCGACUGCUUGCAACAGGUCUUGAGCUAUUAUGUCCCAACAAGUCGUGUAAAAGAACCCCGUAAAACCAUCCACCCAUGCUGCACUUUGGCCAUCCAAUGCAAAAACAGCCUUUUUGACUUCCUCUAAUGUAACUUCGCUCGUUAAAUCCUCGUUUUGUUGGUGUGUAACCGGCCUUGGAAUCGAAGCCAACAAUUCUUCAAUUGCUGGCUCACAAUUAGGAGUGUUUUGGCAGGACAACAAGUUUCUGUAGAAAGUUGCUGCACUCUGACCUAUAGCCUCCUCGUCUUCUAACAUGUUGUCAUCUGCCUCCCUUACUUGACGAAUUGAGAGGCAUGCUCGCUUGGAUAUUAGAGUGGAAUGGAAAAUUUUUGUGUUGGAAUCUCCCUCCUUUAGCUACCGUAUUCAUGUUUUUUGUUUCCAGAACAUUUCCUCAUCAGCGUCUUAAGUAGCCUUGCUUGUGUGCGGCUCUAUUGGGUCCUCGCCUCUUCUGUCCCUUCCUCCUCCAGCAAGAUCUCGCACGCUCUAACUUCUUCUGCUGCUGCUGCUACAUCCUUGAAAACAUCUCCAAACAUGUCUUUGUUCCACUGCUGAAGGUCAUGUUUGAGGCGCUUGAGCUUGAAGAAGAAAGCGAACAUGCCAUAGCCUUGAACAGCUUGCUCCCAACUCUGGUGAACCGUGUCAAAGAAUGUUGGGUGCUGGACCCACAUAUGCUAGAAUUUGAAUAACUGUGGAGCAGGGGCGCUGUGUUGCUUAACUUUCAUCAAAAGGGGCAAAUGAUCCGAUCCUGUUCUAUUCAAAAGUUGUAGCGAGUUAUCUUGAAAACACUAUAGCCAUUCUAAGUUUACUAGUAGUCCAUACCAUUCUAAGUUUACUACCAUCUGAUUUACAGUGAACUUGGUCAACACAAAGUUUAUUCUAUCAAGGUUACAAAGAAUAAAAUUGCAUCCAUUUUUCAGCUAAGGUAGGAACCCUGAAUAAGCUAGCUAGCUAUCUAGUUUGUUUCAGAUAACAAGCAAUGAGCAUCUGAUCAUCAAAGAGACACAGAAAUGAUAACCUCAACAAUCAAGUCGUUUAUUGCCAUCUCAAGUAAGUCUAUGGUAUUCAGGUCGUCGAAUUCAUCUCCUUUACAAAUGCAAGUAAGGAGCAUUCGACCACGAGAAAGUAACUUUUCCGAACGAAUCCUUAGAAAUGUGGGCGAGCGGACGACUUGCUUUGGAAGAGUAAAUGCUCCCUUUGUUCGCACUGAUCCCCAAUUCAAUCACCAAACCGUUGGGAACCUGCAGUCUAAAGCUAGUAACUUAUAUAGUUGGAUCAUUUUGUUAGUGUUGCAUAUGGGAAUAUAAAUCAUGAGCCACGAAUUAAAUUGUUAAUCUCAUUUCUUAACUACAAUAGUUUAUCUCAUUUAAUUGUUAAUCAUGCUUCAUUUAAAUGCAUUUAAUUAGUAAAUUUUAGGAAUUUUAUGUUUAUUCAUAUUUCUUUAUAAUAAUAAAGUGAAUUUACUAGAUGUUUGUAUUUUCUUUUAAAUUGUUAAUUAAAUUGGUACCUUGACUAUUUUGUUGGUUCUGGAGUAUAAAUAAGGCAAAUUCUACCUCAUUUAACCACUACUUCAAGGGAGAUACUUUUUAUUAUUAUUUUAAGUUCUUUUAUGUGCUCCUAUGUGUUUUUUAUAUGUGUGAUUGCGUGUUUUAACUGUCUUUUCUUUUAUUUUAUCUUAUUCAUUUUUAGCUUUCAUUUAUUUUAUUUAUUUAAAUUUUGAUGAUUAUUUGGAAGGUAUUUAAAAACCAAAUUGUAAUAGAUAGGUGUCCAAAAAAUGUAUUCAGUUAGGCCAUGUAAUUAGUUAGAUAGAUUUUAUUUUCACCGAAAUUGUAAUUAGUUAGAUAAAUGUAAUAGAUAGGUUUAUUAUUUUCAAAAUUCCCCUUCUACAUUGUAAUUAGGGUCCCCAAUAUAAUAGUUAGUUUUUAUUUGCUUCCAUGCUUGUGCGCUUAUGUAUUUUAUUCGUUUUUUCUAGGAUUUUGUAUCUAAAUAUUAUGCAUAUGUGCUAUGUGCUCUACAUACUUUAUAUGUUUUAUGGGUUUUAAUUAUGUUUUAUAUGUUUUAUUUAUUUAUAAUAAAUGCAUGACGUCGCCGCACUAGUCCAAUACUAGUUGUGACAUUUCUCCCCGAUUUCUCACUAGUCCAAUGCUAGUGAGAACUUGUAAAAAUGGGUUAGUCCAAUACUAGACCUUUUAGAUAAUUUUCGCGCUAAAUUCAUACAUUGUGUGACACUUAUUGCAUCUCAUGUAUUUUUUUCCUAUUUUUAGGUUAUUUUCAAUUGGAUGACAUUUCCCCUACUAUCAUUCCUUUACCCUCUAUAUAUUUGGACCAUAUCAUUUAGAAUUGCAUUUCAUUCUAGGAAAUGAGAAAUAGACUAGUCCACUUGGUUGACAAGGUUAAGAGAGUCACCCUUCGAAUAUGAGAAAUGGGUGAGUAUGACUUUUUAAAUUUAGCACGCUAUUACCCCUCUAUAAGAAGAAAAAUUGAAUCACGAAUUUUAGUCUCUCAUACCCAUUAUAUUGCAUUCCCCUUUUCUAGGUCAUGUACAUUUAUCUAUGUUAUAAUUUCCUUUUUGAGUCUCAUCUUUUGCACUUUUCAUGAUCUCUUCAAAUAAUCAUUUCUGGACAUCACAAUUAAUGUGAUUAGUACCAAUUAAAUUUUGAAGAGACAUUUUGACCCUCCCAAUAUCCUUUAGAUCUAGAUUUGCAUCCAUAUAUAAACAUCCAAAAUGUGAUAAGUUUUAUAUAUUAAAUUAGAAAAAAUUUCGACUAAAUCUCGCAACUACUCUUAGUUAGGUUGAAAGAGAGGCUUAAAUUGAAUAUUUGCCUUCCCUUUCUUCAAACAUGAUUCCCGAAUUCUUUUAUUUUAUUUUCAAAGAUUUGGAGUCCUCUAAAAGGGUUUUAUUUAUUUUUAUUUAAAAUAUAUUUUUGGUGAGUUGAUACACCUAAACUCAAUACUAAGUGCGCGACUCUACUCUUUUCUAAAAAAUCCUUUUUAGACUAUUAUUUUGGACUCAAACCGUCGCAUAUUUUAAGUUCCAUUUUAACCUUUUUUUUAUUUAUUUUUUAAAAUCAAAAACUCUUUUUUUUAACACUAUUUUUUCUUUUAUUUUCAAGAAUAAGGUGCGACAAACCCUAAACUAAACGACAUUCCAUGACCUCAAAAAGUAAUCCACAGUGGAUUUAAGGAUGGGACGUUGAGAUUCACAUGCUUAUUAUGCUUGUUGGCUGGCAUCAGUUGCGUCUAUAGUUGGAGCACCCAUUAUUGUGUUUGUCUUUGUCCCCGAUCAAACUAGGCCCCAGCUUAGCAUCUUCCGCAGGGCGUCACCUGCUGAUGUACCCUUCUGUCUGCAGUCUGAGAUUCACAUGCUUAUUAUGCUUGUUGGCUGGCAUCAGUUGCGUCUAUAGUUGGAGCACCCAUUAUUGUGUUUGUCUUUGUCCCCGAUCAAACUAGGCCCCAGCUUAGCAUCUUCCGCAGGGCGUCACCUGCUGAUGUACCCUUCUGUCUGCAGUCUGGCUCUUACCAUUAUUUAUGACACUGACUUUCCCAUACCAUUUGCAUUUUCUGUGGUGAGAAUUUUUCUACGAGAAUUAUCUCAUUGUUUUUACUUUUCCUUUUUUUUUUCUCUCUUUGUUUUUUUGGAGAAUAAUAAUGUAUUGGCAUGCUUUUUUAAAAUCUGAACCAUGAAAAUAUUCACAAGUCAUUCAUUUAUCGUGUUCUGCUUCUUUUUUAUAUGUUGGAACUUAGAGAUGGAAUAACUGAGAAUUGAGCUUGCGAGAUACUAACAAAAGUUUGAAUGUCUUUCAAGAUAAAGUGACACUUCCUUCAAAAAGAUAAAGUGACACUUAGCGAAUGAAUAAAUGACAAUUGAGUAUGCCAUUUACUAAGGAAAAGCCUAAUGUAUUUGAAGACAAAGUGACCACUUUAUGAAAGUUAUUCACGAAUGAUAAAAUCAGAAGUUGAGAUACGGGGAUAGGUUACGACUACGGUAGAAAGUUCACUUUUCUUCCCAUAGCAGGCAGAAGCAAUGCAAGGAGGCCAACUGUGCUUUGUGGGACGCACGAAGAAGGAUAUCCGGACAACACUGAGAAAGCCGGUUGUGCGUGAAUGAAAAAAUAUAAUACAUUUUAAAAUCACAAUAAAAGUUCUCUUAAAAAUUUAUUUAUCAUCUAAUGCCCAAUACUUAUAUUUGUUAAAUUAAAACAGUUAAUUAAAUAUUUUAUUAUAACAUAAACAACUAUAUGUCAUUGAGUUGAUUGAAUAAUAUUUUCUUUUCUUUUUUUGGCAUUUCAACUAGUUGUCAAUUAAAUUUCAAUUGAAAUAAAGAUUUUAUAAUUAUUUAAAUUAUUCAAUAAAAUUAUCAAUUUAAGAUGAACAUAAAUAUAUGGGGAUAAGAUCAUAAGGCUAGAAAAGUUGAGAUAUGGGGACAAGACUACUAGUAUUUGAGGUACCCUUGCGUAUUUGUAGAAGCCCGGUGGGUAAAAUAUAUAUAUAUAUAUGUAUGUAUAUGUGUGUGUUUGUUUAAUGCUUAUUUCUAUAUAUGUGUAUAUAUAAUGCUUAUUUAUGUCCACUUGUUAAGUUUUUAUAUGUUGUUCUUUUUAGUUUAUGUCAGCAUAAUGGUUAUUAUUUUUAGUUAAAUUUAUUAACCAAACAAAAUGUACCACAUUUCAACAUGUUGCACACGUUGAAAAAAAGACUUCCAACAACAUCUUGAAUUUCAAUUUUUUAAUAUGGUAAAAUUAUUUUGGUACUUAAAUUUUCAAGUCCAUAUCAUCUCAACUCCACCGACGUUGGAUUCCUCAACUUAAAGCUUAAAAACUGAAUGCUUUUCUUUCAAUUUCUAUGUCUCAUGGUUUUCUCGUGGUUUCAAUGAAAAAUAAAUAAAUAACAAAGCUAUAUAUGUUUCUAAAUUGAUAUCACAAGAGAGAAGAAAAAAAAGGUACUGAAAGGGUGAAUUUAUCAAUUUAUUAAUUUGAUUUUGAUUUUUUACUAUUGACCAUUCAUCUUAACAGAAGAGCUAAUGGUGACACUUUACCCAAAUCAUGAGAGCUUAUAUAUAGUUUUUUGAAGUAGGGAGAGUUAUGUGAUAAAUCACCAAAUUACAAGGGGGUAAAAGGUAAUUUACACAAAAAAUCAUCAUUCCGAGACUUCCCAUACAGUCAUACACGUGAUAUCGGACAACUAUUUAGUGCAGCUGUAUUUUGUGCAGUUGUAUCUGGUUGUUGUGCGUGUUCAAAUAUACAUAUGAAAAUAUUGUACUAAAUAUAUGUCAAAUAUCUUAUUCUUAUACACCACUUUUAUUACGAAUACAAAACAAUAAUAUAAUAUUAUUAUACACUAAAUAAUAUAAAAAGUACAAUACCCGAAAGACCCCCAACGGCACUAAAUCCUUUCCCCAACACAAAAACCAACUAAAAACAAACUUUUACAUGUCUGGCUUCUCUGGCUUUUUGGCGAGAGAAAUGAUAAGAUUAUUAUAGUAGGCUUUGCCCAAGGGGAGAACCUUUGCUGCAUGCUUCGCAAACCUGUGGAAUAUGUCAGGUAUAAUAGCUUCUCCAAAAUGACUUGCGAGGAUGGGUUCGUAAACUGCUCUAACGGAAGAUGCAACAUACUCUGCUUUAAUAUGUUCAUCGCUGUAUACUUGGACAUGGGAUCUUACUGGGUAAUUAUCAUCAAUAGAGAAGCCAGCAUCAUAAAGGACCUUAAAAGUCUCCAGGUAUAAAAUUUCAAAAGAACCUUCCUCCUCAACUAUGCACUUUACUUCUUCUGCUGAAGGUAUAUAGACUGGAAGAUUGAAACUAUCCAAUUUUUCUUCCUCCAGAUGUCCCUGCAGAUAUGCCAAUCAUCAAUUCAAUUCAAAUUAUUCGAAGCACGAGACUUGGAAAUUAACCAAUUUGCUCAAACCUCAACUCUAGGAAAAAAAAGGGUACAGUUUUUUUCCUUAAUUUCAAUAUGAAAAUAUUAUUACUACUUGUGCUUUUAGUUCAUAUUAUUAUUUUUUCCAAUACCUUUUUAACCAAAAAGGGGGGAAAAAAGAUAGCCGACAAAUUAAAUCCCCCUAUAUUUCUAACUUGAAAGAAUUAUCUUAACUGUAUUGGAGUUGUGUGACCUAACUUCGAAUUAAAGGUUACUACCAUCUGAUUUACACGGUGAACUUGGUCUACACAAAGUUUAUUGUAUCAAGGUUACAAAAAAUAAAAUUGCAUCCAUUUUGCAGCUAAGGUAGGAACCCUAAUAAGCUAGCUAGCUAUCUAGUUUAUUUCAGAUAACAAGCAAUGAGCAUCUGAUCAUCAAAGAGACAGAGAAAUGAUAACCUCAACAACCAAGUCGUUUAUUGCCAUCUCAAGUAAGUCUAUGGCAUUCAGGGCGUCGAAUUCAACUCCUUUACAAAUGCAAGUAAGGAGCAUUCGGCCAUGUGAAAACAACUCUUCCGAAUGAAUCCUUAGAAAUGUGGUAAAAUCUUUCGUAAAUUGAUCCAAAUAUGCCUUCUGGACGGGCAGACGACUUGCUUUGGAAGAGUAAAUGCUCCCUUUGUUCGUACUGAUCCCCAAUUCAGUCACCAAACCGCUAGGAACCUGCACGUCCAGAGCUGGUAACUUAUAUAGUUGGAUCAUUUUGUUAGUGUUGCAUGUGGGAAUAUAAAUCAUGAGCCACGACUUGAAUAAAAUAUGUUAUUAGUUUCUUCAGAAAUCUCUUUCUUGGAUUCCUGUGGAUAUCUUGAGAAUUAUUAAAGAAAUUUCCAUGCAUAGUUACUAAUGUGUUGAAUGAAAAUCAUGAACUAUUUUUGCUACAAGAAAAAGUAAAAAGAUAAAAGGGAUUAACUCAAAGACCUGAGAUAACCAAUGAAGACAGUAACAAGAGUGUAAAAAAUGCAUGGACUCCUCGGGGAAGAGUCUGCUGUAGAAAGAGCCAGGCAUUGCCCCUAUUAGGCACGAUCCUAUUUUGCGCCCAUUUUCUUUCUCAAGUUUGCGGUAGAAGCUUGGCAGCAACUUGAAAACCGAAUUGAAAUCAUUUUGGAAAAGAUCAUUCAGAAAAAUCUGAAUGGUGGGACGUUCUAAUUCAUUCUUCUUUUCCUGGCCAACUUUGUCAAUACUUUGGACAAUGUCCCGAACUGUUAAAAGUGUGUUUGGUCCAGAAGCGCAUCCCAAAUCCGCAACUUUAAUGCACUUGUUGAUGUUGGGCAAGCUGGCCCGCAACAAUUCUCGUAUGCAUUGUUCAAGGACAGGUUUCACCUUGUUAAGAACCAGAUGCUACACAUACCACUCCAAAAUACAAAUGUUAAGGGGGGAAAAAAGACAUACUAAGUUAGAGAUCGACGUAUCAUAGCAUGAUUUACUACUACUCUGUGUGUGUGUGUGUGUUAAAGAGAGAUAGAGAGACAGACAGACAUUGUAGGCUGAAUUCUUGGCGUAGCUUGUAUCGCCUUCGCCUCCAUUCAUCCGCAGGACUUCUUGGAGCUCCAUUCAUAUGCAGGACUUGUACAUAAAUCGAAUUGGGACUGCCAAAGAAGGUGUCCGUUAAUGAUUAAUUGUGCAAAAUUUGGGCUUAAAUAGCGAAAAUUUUAUAGAUGCGUAUGCUAACUAGCUGUCUACGUCCGUAGAAAAGUCUGUCAAUUGGUCAGAAAGAAAGCGCACAGCCAAUGGGAACCAGACACGAAUGAUAAAAUCAGAAAUUGAGAUAUGGGGAUAAAACAUCUUAUCUUAUAUAGAAAAAGUCAAGACUUCUACUCCCACAUUGAGCCACAUGCCUGCAUUUGGGAAGGGAAUCCACCGUAGCAUAUUGAUAAGUGUAUAUUUGGAGCAUUUUAAACGUGUUUUAUUAAUUAGUUUUGGUAUAUUUUAAUUAAUUUUAUAGCCAAUUAAUUAAGUUUCUAGUGAAAAUAUACAUUUUGUGGUUUAAGUAUCAAAAAUUACAUUUCUAUGGAUUUUAAUGGUAAAAAUUUCAUGUUUUUGUAUGUUCAAUGAUUCAAUCAUCAAUUGGAAUAACUUGAGAAGAUAUUUGGAUAAUUGUUGAUGAUUUGAAAUGAUUUAAAGAAAACAUGAACUGCCAAAUGUUCAAAAGAGGAAAUGCAAUCAAGAAUAAAAGAAAGGGAGUUUUCCAACUUUGAUACCUUGUAGUAUUUCGCCUAUAUCUUGAGUUACAAGCAUUGAAUAGAGGUGAUUCUUAAACUAUUUUGAAACUAAAAGAUAGCUCUAUAUUUGAUAUGAAGAUCGAAAUCCACUUUAGUCGUUUUCCUUGUCAAAAUGUCGAAAUACAGAAGUACAUUUUUAUUGUCAAAAACUAAAACAGAGUUCUGACUAGUCGAGGGUAUUUUGGUCAUUUCUUGAUCCACAGAUCUCCAAAUUGGAUGAUUCUUGAAGGCAUUGGAAAGUUAAUUCAAAAGGCUAUAACUUUCAUACUUUUUACAAGAGAUAGUUCAGCCUCUAUCACCAAGAAAAUAUCAAUUGACAUUGGACCAAAAAUAGAGCAAAGAGAAGACUUGAUCAGAAAUGAGCAAACCUGAAAAAGAGAAAAACGUGGGUACAAUAUGCGACCUUAGUUCACGUUAUAGUACAAAUUGGUAUAAUCAAUGUAUUUAUAGUGAUUCUCAAUGUUAUCAUGAUUACCUACCCGAGUGUGUCCAAUAUGAAUCUAAACUAUCUUGAAAAUUAGCCAUAGAAAAGUUAGCUAAUGCAACCUCCGAUCUUUUUGAUAGGGUUGAGCAAAGAUUAGAUGAAUUAACUUCUCAUUUUGGUAGAAUACAAGAUCAAUUACAUGUUUUGUGUGAAGUUAUUUUUUCUAAUUAUGUGCAAAAUUAUCCUAGCAUGAAUGAUGGGAAUGUUGUAUGUGGAAAUGGAUUGCAUUUUGAUGAAAAUGAUGCAUCUAAUAUAUGUUUCAAUGAGAAAUUGUCCAUUUCACAAGAUCAUAUCCUUGGAACUAACUUUGAACCUCAAGAGAUGAGCAUCAAGGACUCAUUUUUCAUCCAUCUUGAGAAAUGUGUUAAAAGCAUAGGUUCUAAAUAUAUCGUCACCCAAGAAAGGCAAGUGGAUGUUCAUUUGGUGAGCACUCAAGUGACGCACAUUCAAGGUUUUAUCUAUCUAUAACUUGAGAUAUGUAAGCCUCUUCCACAUCUCAUAUCAUUAGAACAUGUGGCUUUGAUAUCAAGCCACCAUUUAUUGAUCCACCAUGUCUUCUAAUGAUGAAUUAUUCAUUGACAAAAUCUCAAAAAAUGAAAUUAUAUAGUCAAACCAAUGACUAUAAACAAAAGCGCUAGUUGGGAGGUAACCCAAUAUUUUGAUAAUUUAUGUUAAUUUAGUGUGAUUUUAUAUUUAAAUUAUGCAUUUAAAUUGUUUUGUUGUUUUUCUUUUAUAGGUUUGGGAAAUAGAAGCAAAAGUGAUCAAAUGAGAUGAAAAAGGUGAAAUUUGAUUGAGGAACUCCACCUCUUGAUUUGAAUAUUUAAUGUUUUUGAUUCGUUAAAGAGAGGUAAAAUGUAUAUUUUGAUCAUUUUACAUGUGUGUGCAUUGUUUCGCUAGGGUUUCUCUCUAGAGACCUUCGCUAGGGUUUCCCAAUGAAGAUCUUCAAAUGGUCCCCGGCCUUUCAUGUAGACAAAGAACCCUCCGUUGUCCCGGUUUGGUUCCAGCUACACAAGUUGCCGUUGCACUACUUCCACAAAGAAGCGAUCUUCCAGAUUGUGUCGGUUUUAGGUGUUCCUUUAUUCGUUGAUGCUGCAACAUUGGCUACCUCCAGGCCAAGUCUUGCGAGAGUUUGUGUUGAAAUAGACUUGUUCCAAGCCAGGCCAUCACGGGGGUGGGUUGGCAAUGGAAAGUAUGAGGGUUUCUGGCAGAGCUUUAUCCCUGAAAACACUCCCAAAUAUUGUUCUCACUGUUAUCGGCAGGGGCAUGACAUUGAGGGUUGUUAUGUCCUGAAACCAGAGCUUCGCCCUCCUAGGGCGGAGAAGCCCUACCAACGGGUAAAAGAUAGGAGUCAGACAUCGGAGCCAUAGGGGAUGCAGCGUGUGGAGAGCCGGCAGCCUCUGGUUGGGGCUCGGGCGGGGAUGUCUUCAACAACUGCUGAGCUGGGGGCGACAGCAGAGGGGGACGUUUCCGGUGGGGAGCAACCUGCUGGCGGGCUAGGAGAGGAGGAAACGCUCGUACAUGGUGCAGGCUGGGAGCAUAGCGUUGCCUGCAGCGAGCAGCGAGAAGGAGCAGUGGAGCGGUGGUGGACUGAUGGCAGACGAAGGGGAAGAGGGGCAGCAGUUACGCUCGCUGCCCGUAGCGGCAGUGGUUAUGGAGGGCACAGGCGAUGCCGACGGGCUGAAUGCGAGGGACUUGCAGCAGCGGCAGCAGCUUGGUCCUGGGGCUGACAUGGAGCUGAUUGUUGACCUGCGUGAUAUUCAAAAGCGGUUGGAAGUCUCUCUCCUCGCGGUACUUCGAAAUUCAAAACCCAGAGGGGUAGUGCGUCACUCUCCGACACACUUCAUCUGGAUUCGAUUGCCGAAACAACUGUUGCAUUGUUGCAUUCGCCUCAAGGAGAAGGACCCCUGGGCACGGCUCAGUCGAAACAACGGGGCAUCCGUGCUCGAUUCCUGUCCGAUCGUACUUUGUGCUCAAGUAAGUCAUCUUCAUCUAAUUCCUUUGCCAGUCUCUCUAAUGAUUAAAAUGCUGUUUUGAAAUAUAAAGGGACUUACUCACGCCCCCAACUUGAGAAGAUUAAAAAAAUUGGUCAAGUUACACUCUUUACAAUUGGUAGCGAUUUGUGAGUUGAAAGUGGCCUUACGAAACAUUGAUAAUGUGCUACUGAAAUUGGGAAUGAAUCUUAGUAUCUCGAACCAAUGGGAUACCAUUUGGAUUUUUUAUAAAUCGAUUCUCUCUUGCUCUGUUGUUGGAGAAUCCUGUCAGCAUGUCUCGCUCCAUGUUCACUGCCCUAUGUUCCCGUCUACCGUUUGUCUCUCCUUAGUUCAUGCCAAGUGCACUGUGCAAGAGCGUGAGACGCUAUGGGCAGAAUUGUUAUUGGAUAGUGUUGACCUUGGUUCAUAACUUUUGAUGAUUACAAAACAAAUGCAUGUUGCUAACAUCUCCUCAAAGGCUUUUUCAGAAAUGAAACAAAUCAGGUUCAAAGAUUAAGCACAUUUGAAAAAGACAGAGUAUGCUGAACCUGUCGGACGCUCAAGAAGAUAGUACCGGACGUCCGAUAAUCAUUGCACAACUUCGGACGAAUGCUUCGGACGUCCAAUAGGAUCCUUCGAAGUCGACGAAUCUAUCGGACGCUGAAUAUGUCUCUACUGGACGUCCGAUAGAAACAAGAUAAUUUCUCAAAUCUCUUUGUUUGCUGUCGGACGCACAAAAGGCUUGCAUCGGACGUCCGAAAGAAUUGAAGAAAAUCUCUUCAACUCACUGCCUACUGUCGGACGUAUAAAACAGGGCUAUCGGACGCAUAAAACAGGGCUAUCGGACGUCCGACACUCCAACGGCUAGUUGACUCUUCAGCUACUUUAUAUCCGUUGGAAACAUUAAUGAGACACUUUCUUGAUCCUAUAUAAAUAGUGGUUGGUCAGAUAUUUCAAACAACUUUGGCACACUGAAGAUACAAAAGAUCUAGAGUGAUUUUAGUGAGAAAAUACUCUUCAAAGAAGAUUUGUAGUCUUAGUGGUGUGAGGUUCAUUGUAAGCUUUUCAUUUGUGAGUGAAUACUUCAUGAGUGUAGCUCUGUGAGGGUUGUCUUGAGGGAUAGUAAAACGUCCUGGCUUGACCGAGUGGAGUUCGGGGCAAGGAGGAGGUGAACCUUCCUUUGUACACAAGAGUGAUUGUAAUUCAUCAACUUGAAGUAGCUUGUUUAAAUUAACCUACAAGUUCAAGAGGAGCUGCGUAGUUAAUUGGUUUGCUAUUCUUUCCUUUUUAUUUACUUAUUGUUACGUUUGUGUUCUUUAAAUUGAUUAUCUCUUCUACUUCCAAACAGUCUUGCUUUCUUGUUAAUUGUCUCAUUGGUUAUCUUCGAGCCUUACAAUUGGUAUCAGAGCUUGGUCUCCUUGAGAUUAAGCUCAAUCGGCUUUGGAGUAAAGAUGACAACCAAUAAUGCUAUAUUUUUUGAAGGACAUUCUGUCAUUAGACCACCUAUGUUUAAUGGGUCAAAUUAUGUGAGUUGGAAAGAAAGAAUGAUUAUUUUUUUACAAUCUAUUGAUAUUGAAUUAUGGUUUAUUAUUAGUGAAGAUCCAUAUGAUGUUUCUCUUAUAGAUGAAAAUACUCAUAGAUCUAAACCAAAAAUAAGAAAUGAACUGACUGCUAUGGAUAGAGCUCAUCUCACCUUAAAUGCAAAAGCCAUGAAUGUGUUACAUUGUGCUUUAGACUCAAAUGAAUCUAUUAGAGUCAAAGGCUGCAAGUCAGCCAAGGAAAUUUGGGAUAAACUGAGAGAAAUUCAUGAAGGUAGUGAGAAUGUUAGAGAACAAAAGAAGUCCAUUCUGGUUACCAAAUAUGAAUCGUUCAAGAUGGAAUCUCAUGAAAACAUUGAUGAGAUGUACUGUAGAUUCAAUGACCUCACUAAGGACUUAGAGGUGCUGGAAAAAGAAUAUUCUCUAGGUGAGAAAAAUAGAAAAAUCCUGAAUGCCUUGUCCAAUGAUUGGGAAAAUAAAGUGACUGCUAUUGAGGAGGCUAAAGAUUUGAAUACUAUGCCUAUUGAAUCUCUUGUUAAUUCUCUAAUCUCUUAUGAGCUGAAACUUAAAUCCAAAGUGCAAGAGGAGGAGGAUGCGAAAGUAAGAAGGAGCAUUGCUUUAAAGGCAUCUCAAGAUGAAGAUGAUUCUGCCUCCCUAGAUGAAGAAAAUGUGGAAGUUGAUGACAGUGAUCUUGCUCUCAUCACAAGAAGUUUCAAGAGGAUUCUCAACAAAAAGAGAUUUAGAAGAGGAGGAUCUAGCAAUUCAGAUUCUAAUCAAUUCAACAAUGCAAAAAAUAAAGGAAGAUAUGAGGCCAACAAAAAGCAAGAUGACAAGUGUUUUGAAUGCGGCCAACCUGGACAUUAUGCAAGUGAGUGUCCAGUAAAGAAGAGAAAAGGUGAAAGAAAACCCAGAUUCAAUAACUUCCAGUUCACAUAGAAUGAAUGCAACUCCGUCGGUGAAAUUGAAGAGGAAGAAGAAUCUGCUCAAUUGGCUUUCAUGGCCAUUGGAGAUGAUGAGGUAACAACUUGUAACUCUCAAUUUGAAAGUGAUGAUGAAACUGAUGAUGAUCUUGAAUCUUUCAUUUUAAAAUUGCAUGAUAGUUUGAAAGAAUCUUAUACUAGAAACAAGGAGUUAAAACAGAAAAUUAGUUUUUUGUUUCGAGAUAAUGCAAAUCUUUUUCAACAAAAUAAAAAGUUGAAUGCUGAAAAUGAUUUCUUCAAAAAGAGUGAGACUGCUUUACACUUUGAGUUUGAUAGAAAAAUAAAGCUUUGUGAAUUGUUCAAAAAGGAACAAGGUGAUUUGAAAAGAAGAAUGGAUGGUUUAAAUGAGUUGCUCCAAUAUAAAAAAUAAGACUGUUUUCAAAGUAAUAAAUCAAAAUCUCAUUUUGGCACUCAUCAGAUAAGACUGAAUCAAUAUGCAAAUGAGUUUGCUAUCCAUAGGAAAAGGCAAGUCAGAUUUUUUAAACCCGUUCAUGUGAAUAACUCUUUGGUUAUGUGUAAUUUUUGUUGUCAAAAAGGUCACAUGAAAAGUGAUUGUUAUGUGAGAAAAAAUAUGAGAAGAGGCAUGAAAUGCAUGUGGAUAGUUAAACAUGAUGCUAACUCUAACAAGUAGGGGAUAUUGGUAAAAUUGAUGAGAUUCUUGUUCAUAAUGCUUUUCUGUAAUUCUUUUUUGAAGUUUCUGAUGCUUAGAACUGUUUUUUUUUUCUUGAUAUUUUUUAAUAUUACUGAAUUUAUAUGAUGUCAAAAAGAAAGAAAAAAGAAUAAUUCUGAUCUCAUGAUGAUUUGCUAUGAUUGCUGUCAUUUCUCUGUUUUUUAUUUGAAUUAUUGGAUUCUCUGUUAUUAUUGCUGAUUUUUGGUAGCUGAUUUUUACUCUCAUCUUAUGAUGACAAAAAGGGAGAGAAAUGGAUGCUAUGUGUAAGGGGGAGUUAUUCUGAAUUCAUAAGUUUAGAUGCCUUGUAUGAGGGGGAGAAAUGGAUGCUAUGUGUAAGGGGGAGUUAUUCUGAAUUCAUAAGUUUAGAUGCAUUGUGUGAGGGGGAGUUUAUGCUCAUAUGCUCAAUAUUUUUUUUCUUCCAUCCAUUGUUUUGUCAUCAUCAAAAAGGGGAAGAAUGUUAACCUUGGUUCCUAACUUUUGAUGAUUACAAAACAAAUGGAUGUUGCUAACAUCUCCUCAAAGGCUUUUUCAGAAAUGAAACAAAUCAGGUUCAAAGAUUAAGCACAUUUGAAAAAGACAGAGUAUAUUGAACCUGUCGGACGCUCAAGAAGACAGUACCGGACGUCCGAUAAUCAUUGCACAACUUCGGACGAAUGCUUCGGACGUGUCCAAUAGGAUCCUUCGAAGUCGACGAAUCUAUCGGACGCUGAAUAUGUCUCUACCGGACGUCCGAUAGAAACAAGAUAAUUUCUCAAAUCUCUUUGUUUGCUGUCGGACGCACAAAAAGCUUGCAUCGGACGUCCGAAAGAAUUGAAGAAAAUCUCUUCAACUCACUGCCUGCUGUCGGACGCAUAAAACAGGGCUAUCGGACGUCCGACACUCCAACGGCUAGUUGACUCUUCAGCUACUUUCUAUCCGUUGGAAACAUUAAUGAGGCACUUUCUUGAUCCUAUAUAAAUAGUGGUUGGUCAGAUAUUUCAAACAACUUUGGCACACUGAAGAUACAAAAGAUCUAGAGUGAUUUUAGUGAGAAAAUACUCUUCAAAGAAGAUUUGUAGUCUUAGUGGUGUGAGGUUCAUUGUAAGCUUUUCAUUUGUGAGUGAAUACUUCAUGAGUGUAGCUCUGUGAGGGUUGUCUUGAGGGAUAGUAAAACGUCCUGGCUUGACCGAGUGGAGUUCGGGGCAAGGAGGAGGUGAACAUUCCUUUGUACACAAGAGUGAUUGUAAUUCAUCAACUUGAAGUAGCUUGUUUAAAUUAACCUACAAGUUCAAGAGGAGCUGCGUAGUUAAUUGGUUUGCUAUUCUUUCCUUUUUAUUUACUUAUUGUUACGUUUGUGUUCUUUAAAUUGAUUAUCACUUCUACUUCCAAACAGUCUUGCUUUCUUGUUAAUUGUCUCAUUGGUUGUCUUCGGGCCUUACAGAUAGUCCGUCUGGGAUCCCUUGGUGUUUGGCUGGAGACUUUAAUGUGAUUGUUAAUAAGGAGGAGAAGCGAGGGGGGUUGCCAUUUCGCCUGAGUGAAGGGUUAGGAUUUUUUUCAAUUCAUGAUGGAGACUGGAGUAUCUGACGCGGGUUUCUCUGGCUCAAAUUACACUUGGUGCAAUAAUAGGCAAGGGCGGGCUCGAGUAUGGAAACACCUCAAUAGAGUGCUUCUAAACUUGGAGGCUUUGCAGAUAGCUUCUAGCAUUCUGGUGCAGCACUUGGCGAGGGAUUCAUCGAACCAUGCCCUACUCUUGAUGACAGCUCCUACUUGGUUGGACAAUAAACCGAAACCCUUCCGGUUCUUAAAUGUUUGGACCAGAAAAGCAGGACUGUUAGAUGUCAUACGCGAUAGCUGGUCGUGUCCAGUGAGCGGACAGUCUCUGUGUGUUUUGGCAGCCAAGUUUCAUACAAUCAAGCAGGUACUGAAGGGAUGGUCUAGGGAGUCUUUUGGCGACAUCUUUCGGGCUGUUAAAGAAGCGGAACGGGCGGCGUUGGAGGCAGAAGUAGCCCAGGGGCAGGACUCGUCUGACCCUGUUUUACAUGAUUUAAAUUAUGCCCGAGAGCGGCUUAGGCAUACGUUGGCUAUUGAGGAAGGUUUUUGGAGACAAAAGGCUAGGGCAAGGUGGUUGAAGGAUGGUGAUAGAAAUUCAAAGUAAUUCCAUGCGGUGGUGGCUGAGAGGAGGAGCAGGGCGAUCAUCCUCAAGAUCCGUGAUUCCAAUGGCAAAUAGGUAAAGGCUGAGGAGCACAUCGGUAGAGAGGCAAUUUCCUUUUUCCAGAGGUUGUUCACGGCUGAGCCGUGCUCCUCCUCUAGUGAGUUCUUAGACACUAUUCCUAAGCUAGUUACGGCUGGUGAUAAAACCCAACUCAUGGAGCCUCCCACCAUGGCUGAAGUAAAGAAGGUGGUUUUCUUGAUGGAUGGAGAGUGUGCCGCUGGCCCAGAUGGAUUUACAGGCAAAUUCUUUACUUUUGCUUGGGAUGUGGUUGCGGAGGACGUGUAUAAGACUGUCGUAAGUUUUUUCUGCAGGGCAGAGUUGCCACGCAGCAUUACUACCACUACUAUUGUCUUGAUUCCUCAGGUUCAGUGCCCCCAAGAUUUCACACAAUAUCGUCCGAUAAGCCUUUGUAAUUUUAUUAAUAAAGUGCUUCCACGCAUUCUUUCGGAUCGUCUGGCUCAGAUUUUACCCAGGAUCAUAUCCGCCCAACAGAGUUGCUUUGUUAAAGGGCAACAGAUCUCGGACAACUUCUUGUUGGCGCAAAAACUUGUGUCGGAUAUCGGGAAGCUGACCCGUGGUGGAAAUGUUGUGAUCAAACUGGACAUGAUGAAAACUAAUGACCGUGUGUCAUGGUGCUUCCUUUUGCAGGUUCUGCAGCACUUUGGGUUUUCUGAGACAUGGAUAGAUGCCAUUUGGCGGCUGGUCUCCAACAUAUGGUUCUCGGUACUGAUAAACGGGGUGCCGCACAAUUUUUUCUGGUCCACGCGUGGUUUGAGACAGGGUGAUCCAUUAUCUCCUGCCCCGUUUGUCAUUGGUGCUGAAGCCCUCUCCAGGGCUUUGAACGCCUUGGUAGAUCAACGCCAAUUCCACCAGUAUAAGGUUUCGAUUGGUUGCCCGGUCGUCACACAUCUGUCUUUUGCGGAUGAUAUGGUCAUUUUCACUAACGAUUUGAAAUCUUCUUUGCACCUCUUAGGGAGGGUCCUAGAGGAGUAUUGUGCAGUCUCGAGUCAGAAGGUUAAUAAGCAAAAGAGCUGUUUCCUGGUGCACCCUUGCCUCGAGUCACAUCGCUGCAGGAUUAUCAGACAGUUAACGGGAUUUCAGAGGAGGAAGUUCCUGGUCAGGUACCUGGGAUGCCCGCUAUUCAUAGGCCGACGUAAGAAGGAAUACUUUGGGGACAUUUGCAAGGGCAUUGUCAACAAAAUUUUAUCGUGGAAGUAGCGGAUUCUAUCGUUUGGGGGAAAAGUGGUGCUGCUCAAGCAUGUUCUAUCCUCGUUGCCGAUUCAUUUGUUGGCGGCAGCGUCACCUCCCAAGGGAGUCUUGCGAGAGAAAGAGAGAGUUAUGGCUGGUUUUUUAUCGGGUGCGUCUGACCUUAGACCGAGGUUUCAUUGGAUGAAAUGGACAGACCUGUGUCGGCCAUAUAGAGAAGGGGGAUUAGGCCUCCGGCGGCCGACUGAGGUUUAUCAAGCUUUUUUCAUAAAGCUAUGGUGGAAUUUCAGAUAUGGUCGUUCUCUGUGGGUUUCCUUUGUGGCUUCCAAGUAUUGUAGAGGGAGGCACCCUUGCCUUGCGGAGAAGAGGACAGGGAGUUCUUACACUUGGAGACAUAUGAGUGCGGUUCAGGGUAUCGUGGAGAACAACAUCAGUUGGAUUGUUAGGUCAGGAUCAAUGGAUUUCUGGCAUGAUAACUGGCCAGCCCACUGUGUCACCGAGUGGAGAUUUUCCAGAACCAGCGGGUGGUGGACUUUGUUAAUGGAGGGGAAUGGAAUAUUCGAUUACUCUCGCAGGUCUUGCAGCCGGAGCUAGUGCGGCUGGUGCUGGAGACCUCGCCUCCGACACUUCAAGAAGAGGACAGGAUGGUAUGGUAUGGAUGCCAAUCUCUAGUUGGGAGUUCUCAAUGGCCUCAGCUCUAUCGCUUGUUCGCACCCAUUCUAAUAGGUCUCUCGACGUCGCUUGUAUUUGGCACAGGUCCUUGCCAAUAACAAUAUCUUUUUUCAUGCUUCGCCUACUUUUCGAGAGGUUACCCUUACUCGAGCAGUUACGACAUGUGGGAAUUCAGGGUCCUUCUAGAUGUUGCUGCUGCUUCGUUCCCCAGGAAGAACAAUGGGAUCACGUCUUUUGCACUGGUGAAGCUGCUCGGCAGGUUUGGAAGGCGUUUGAAAUUCAAGAGGGAAUGGCGUCUCGUAUUAGCUCAGCUCGUCAUAUGGUCAUCUCGUGGUGGUUAUGCUCUGCUCCGAAUUGGUAUUUGUCCUUUGUCUAUCGUAUCCUUUCCUUUCUAAUUUGUUGGGAAUUGUGGAGAGCGAGAAAUUGUGCAUUAAUGCAAGGGAGGCGGUCAGAUUAGGGAAUGGUGGUGGCCCGAACCUUGACUCGGAUUAGGAAACUUUUGCAUAUACAAUUUCCUCUACUCCCAUGGCCUCAUGGCUCUUGGGAGAGCUUGUACACUGCCUUGGCGGCUUGGCCGCAACGGAGGUGCGUUUGGCCGGUGAAAUGGGUGGCCCCGAGUACUGGUUAUAAGUUUAAUACGGAUGGGUGUUCGCUGGACAACCCAGGUUUUAGUGGAGAGGGAGGGCUGUUGCGUGACUCCCAAGAAGCAGUGCUCUUUGGCUUUUCAUGUUACUUUGGUGUCAUCACCAGCCUGGAUGCGAAGUUAAAGGCCGUGGUAUUUGGGGUAAAAUAGUGUGCCGAUCGGGGGUAUAUGGAGUUGCACCUGGAGCUGGAUUCCUUAACCCUGGUUCGGAUCAUAUCAGGAGAUGAUGCAUGCCCCUGGUGAUUGCAGGUGGAACUGGACGAAAUGCUGCGGUAUCGAAGUCUAUGCCGGUCUGUAACGCACUGCUAUAGAGAGGCAAAUAAACCCUCAGACAGGCUGGCCAAGAUAGGUGCAAAUCGCGGAAAUGAUACUUUGUUUGAGUCCUUUGGAGCGCUACCCCCUAUGGUUCGCGAUGAUAUACGGAUGGAUAGGUUAGGUUUCCCUAGCUUUCGGAGAAAGAUCUUGUAGCUUGGCACUUGUUGAUGUAAUUGGCGUUUAUGACUGAAUAAAACAUUAUUUUUCUGCCAAAAAAAAACAUGUGUGUGUAUUGAUUAUUUUAGCAAAAGAAUGAAUGAUCUAGUGUGCAUUUUAAGCAAUAGGGGUACCAUAUGUAAUUUUAGAAAGUUGAAUCUUGUGUGGAAAAAUUGCAGAAGAAAACGCAGCCUCAUGGAAAAUGCGACCUUCGGUCACGUUUUCCUGAGGUCGCGUAUUCUGUUCUACAACUUAUCAACAAAAUACACGAGUACAGAAAACAUGACCUAAGGUCACGUUUUCAAUCUCGCAUAUUUAUUUCUACAAAAUUAAGGCAGAAAAUGUGAGCCUAAAAACACAGGCUCAAGCCCGCGUUUUUUAAGCUCUUUUUAGAAACGAAAAUGCAGGUUGCCUUAUUCUUCUUUUCUUCUUCUCCUCCUCACAUUUUCUCUCACAUACUAACACACACUUCACCAAUUUCAUCUUUUAUUCAAUUUUCUUGUAAGAAAUCAUCAACCAAACAUUAUUUGACCUUCAUAGAUCCUUUUUAACUGAUUAGAAUUCAAGAAAAAGAUCUCAAAAAUUGGUUGUUAGGGUUCAUAAUUUCCAAUUCCAUCAAUUGGAGGUCAAUUGGAGUGAUUUUCAUAGGACUUUUUACAUCAUUUGUAUCACCAAACAUCACUCUACCAAUCUAAGAUAAAUUUCUUGAACUUAAUUUGGUAUUUUAAAAUUCACCAUUUGCAUAUUUUUGAGUUUAUUGACAUACUUGGAAUGGUGAAUUUGUGAUGUUAUUUAUUGGUGUAUAUAAGUUCCAUUAUGUUUAUUUAACAUCUUUAAACAUAUUUAGAUGAUCAAAUGUGGGAAUGUGAUGAUUUAUGCAAUGUUUUAAUUCAUGCAUAUUCUUAUUUAUUGAUCAAUGUAAUAAUUGGUCUUAGAAUAUUGUUAAGCAUAAUUGGAUAGUUCAAAUUGGUAAAAUGUGACUUAUUCAUGAUGCUUACAUGUCUACAUUCAUUAUAUGGUGAUAUUUUAGCAAAUUUGAAUUUGUAAACUUUAGAGAAUGGCUAGUUUAUCUAGAUAAAGGAAAAUGAUACAUUUAAAUGAAAAUUUUUAGCUUAAUUUUCAUAUAAAACAUCAUUGGAUGAAGAGUUUUGAAUAUGUGAAGAAUUUAGCAAUUUGUAGAAUUUUAGGAGUAAAAAAUGUGUGAAGUGAAGUGUUUCAUUGUACCUUGAGUAGUUUCUUGUAUAUUUUAUAUGGGUACAUCGCCACGACAAAUGCGUAGAAGUUACGGAUCGCCGUUUUGUAUUUAUUAAUGCCUUUGUUAUCACCUUUGUUUCUCAUUUUUUAAUUCUUAGGUUUAAUUACUAAUGGUUAUCCAAUGGAACUAAUAAAGUUUUGGAGAUAAGCGGACAAUGGUUUGUGACACUUCAUGGUGCUUCAAUCAUAUCAAUAAGGGAGUAUUCCUUUUUUUUUUAUCUUGAUUUCCCUUUUUACACAUUGAAAACAAUGUAUAUGUUAAGUAUGAGGGGGGGAGAAUUAACAUUAUAUGUAUCGUAUGUAAUUGAUUUGUUGGUUGCAAAUAUUGGACUUGUGCUUGAAAAUGUUAUUGUACUUAGAAAUUUUUCAAAAUUGGAUUUGUUGGUAGGGAGUUUAGUCCAUUUAUAAGAGGAGAUUCUGACAAAAUUUUUUAAAAAUCUUGUCUAAAAUUGCAAAAUUGCCUCAAAAGAUUUCAAAAUUUUUCAAUUUUAUCCAAGGGUAACAAGUUCCAUACCAUUAGUUAUUCAAAUUCCUUCUACUUUUAAGAUAAAUAUAUGUGACUUGACAACUUCUUUUCUCAUUUAACUUGAAAAUGACUAUUAUGUGAGUAUAAUUUGUGUAUUUAUAGGAAAGUAUAUCUUGAAAAGUGGAGAAAAUUAUAUCUAAAUUUUAUAAAUUUGAUGAAAUUUCUUCUCUUUACUUGAUUUACAUAGUUCACUGAUUAAUAUGGUCAAUAAGUGCAAAACUCUUCUCAUGAUUAUUCUUUUGUAAGAAUGUUAUUAUUUUUCCUUUUGAAGAAAAAAAGAGAGAGAAAAAAAGAAAAAAAGGAAAAAGGAAAAUAAAAGUUCUUCUAUUUCAAUGGUUCUUGUACUUAGUAAUCGAAAGUUUUUAUCUACAAAUAUCGACUUUCGCGUAAAACGGCACUAGAAUUAAGAGUAUGCAAGACAACUUGAGGAUAUGAAGUGUUGGGUAACUGGCGAUCUUCAUCUAAAAUUAUCGAUUUUCGCGACAAAAGACACUUUCACAACUUGAAUAAUAUUUAGAUAUAUUAUAUGAAUAAAUCUUUUUUUGCAUGUGAAAAAUGUGAUGAUCAAAAUAUUAAUUAAGGCUCAAUUUGAAUCUAUUUGGAUCUAAAAGGAUAUGAUUUUUUUGGGUUUAGGAAGCAUUUUUAUUAACCAUAUAACUUACAUGCUUGUGAAAUUAGGAAAGGAUAAGAAAUUGAUUUGAAUUAGUUACAAUUAUGGCAUAAUUUGCUCUCCUUUACUUGAUAUUAUGAGUACUUGAACUUAAUUGAAUGAUUGCAUAAUGGUUAUUUACCUUGUUUUGAGGAAAUGAAGUUGAACUGUGUACAUAUGUUUAAUUUGAAAGUUUUGAAUCAUUGUGAUUAGUAAUUCUUAAUUGCUUGAGGACAAGCAAUGAUUUAAUAUGGGGGAGUUGAUAAGUGUGUAUUUUGAGUAUUUUAAGUGUAUUUUAUUAACUAGUUUUUGUGUAUUUUAAUUAGUUUUAUAACAAAUUAACUAAGUUUCUAGUGAAAAUAUAUAUUUUGUGAAUUAAGUAUCAAAAAAUUACAUUUCUAUGAAUUUUAAUGGUAAAAACUUCAUGUUUUUCUAGAUUCAAUGAUUCAAUCAUCAAUUGGAGUGACUUGAGAAGAUAUUUGGAUGAUUGUUGAUGAUUGGAAGUGAUUUAAAGAAGACAUGAAGUGCCAAACGUUCAAAAGAUGAAAUGCAAUCAAAAAUAAAAGGAAAGGAGUUUUCCAGUUUUGACACCUUGUAGUAUUUUGACUAUAUCUUGAGAUAUAAGCGUUGAAUUGAGGUGAUUCUUAAACCAUUUUGAAGUUAAGACAUUUGUUGUGAAGACUUCAAAGUCCAGUUUAGCUGUUUUCCUUGUCAAAAUAUCGAAAUACAGAAGUGCAUUUUCAUUAUCAAAAGCUAAAAUAAAGUUCUGACUAGUCAAGGGUAUUUUGAUCAUUUCUUAGUCCACAGAGCUCCAAAUUGAAUGAUUCUUAAGGAAUUGGAAAGCUAAUGCAAAGGACUACAACUUUCAUGUUUUGUAUAAGAGCUAGUUCAGCCUUCAUCAUCAAGAAAAUAUCUGUUGAAAUUGGACUAAAAACAGGGCAAAGAGAAGACUUGACCAGAAAUGAUCAAACCUGCAAAAGAGCAAAACGUGGGUACGAUACGCGACCUCAAGUUGCAUUUUCAAGGUUGCAUAUUCUUCAUUUGUGGGUGCAAUUUGCUCUACAACUUGUGCUUUGUUCACACAAGAUUUUUUUACUACUUUUUCUGCAAGAAUUUUGGCUGGAUAUGAGCUAAUAAGUAUGGAGACAUCAAGAAGCAACCUUUUGAUGAUUCCAAGAGCCAACUAGCACUAACCUUAACUUGAUUACUUGGAGCUUUAAUCCUCUAUAAAUAGAGGCCUUUGGGGAAUAUUUUCACAUCUUUGGGAAGGCUAGAGAAACUUCACAAAAAUGUAGUCUUCACUAGAAUUUUCUUAGUUCAUUAGUUAGAUUAAUAUAGUAUAGUUUGCGUAGUUUAUCCUUCUUGUAUUUGUAACUAAACUUGGAUGAAGAUUAAGGAGCAAGAUGGAGAGUUUGAUCUCAUAUGACAAGGGUGAUAUUUCAUGUACUACUUUCUCUUGUAUUUGAUUUCAUGUUUAGUUAUUAUACAAGUUUGGAUUUGUGUUUCAAUGUGUUUCUAAAGUUUAUACCUAGAGUUAUGGAUGAACUUGUUAUAUCUUGUUAGUGAUAUUUACAUGGUUAUUUGAUGAUAUUAUUUUGAAUAAGUUAUUUAUUACUUUUGCUUUUCUAAUCAUGAUUAACCGACCAUUAAUUGUGAUAAUUUUAAUGUGUUAAGUUUGCAAUGAGAAUUGGGAUUUAACACUAGUUCAAGGAAGUGAUAAAUCUAGGGAGUAUACUCACAAGAGUAGAGGUGCACCUAUGCGGUUUUAGUGACUUGUUUCAUGUAAUUUUAUAGAAAAAAUGAGUUUGUAGUUGAUUUCAUAACCACGAGAGCAGGUAUGAUUAAUUACAAAUAUAGUUGAUUCACUACGAGAGUAGGUUUCAUAUACAUUAGAAAAUUACGCCAUAACUAGCCAAGAUUAUAGUAUUCAUUUAACCAGUAAUUUCAUUAGUGAGAGUAGUUAGAAAUUCCAUACCUCUAGAAGCUUUAUAUUGUUAUUUUUAUUAUGUUUAUUUCAUGUUUGUAGUGCAGAUUUAAUCUUUUACAUUUGUGGUAAUCUAAAUAAUAAAGGAGUUCAAAAGCUAUCAGUAAUUGACAAUCUUCUCUGUGGUUUCGACCUUUAAUACCCUAUAUUCAAUCACGGCUCGUAUACUUGCGAAAAAUCGCGUGUGGAGUAUUUUGGAUGUUAUAAAUAUAAAACAUGAUUGUGGAUGAGUUAAUUGUUGUAUGUAUACCCCACACUCAUCACAUAUGUCUUUUGCCAACAAUGUCCUCCAAAUUUUAACUCUUGGGCUGAACAAUUAACUACUAUUAAGAGGUUGGUACGUCUUUUACCUUCUAAUUACAACUUUGUCAUACCAGAAAUAACAUCCCUUGAAACAGUAGCUAAACGUUGAGGGUUAUUUCUAGCAUUUUGGCUCAAAUUAUUCUCCUUUCCUUUUCAUUAUUUCUUGUUUCUUCAACUAUUCUUCCCUCAGUCGAAAAAGAGAAGCAGGUGAAUAGAUUUUGGAGAUAGUAGCCAAGAAACGGGUUUUCUACCUACUAUCUGUACUUCCACAAGAGAUAAAGAAAAGUACCAAUUGAACUUCUCCAACACUUGGUCAACAGUCUCUCUCUCUCUCUCUCUCUCUCUCUCUCUCUCUCUCUCUCUCUCUCCUAUUCUUUUGUUUCUCCUUCUUUUUCUUUCUGGUUUAUAGACAAAGAAAAGUAUCAGUUGAAUUCCUCCAGCACUUGGUCAACAAUUUGACGAUUUUCUUCCCUAAAUUGUGGUUGCUCAUCAGAUUUUGUGGUUUGUCCUUUUGUAUUCCUUUUUAUUCCCCAACCGUUGUCUUCCUCUUCCUUUCUCUCUUUUUCUCUAUUUUCCAUUCUUUUGUUUCCUCUUCCUUCUCUUUCUGGUUCAACCGAAGAAAAGUACUUGUUGAAUUCCUCCAGCACUUGGUCAACAAUUUGACAAUUUUCUUUCCUAAAUUAUGGCUACCCAUCCGAUUUUUUACUUCUAUACUCUUUAUCAUAUCCCAACUGUGGGAUUGUGGUUUGUCCUUUUGUAUUCAUUUUCAUUCCCCAGUUGGAAAAUUAUCAAGAGUGAAAGAAAAAUCUCUGACAACUUAUCAAGUUUGCAACUUUAUCUAUCUAUUGUGUUCAUGAUGGCUAAUACCAUUGCUAGGGAUAGAGGUUUGUCUUUUUGUUUUCCUUAUUGUUGACUAGUUGGCAAAUUAUCAAGAGUGAAAGAAAGUUUGUGUCUUUAUACAUUAGGAAACACAAAUACUGCUCACAAAAAACUACAUGCUUCUUCCACCUUCUCCUCUACAAUCUUUCCUGCUAAAGGUAAUUACUUCUUUUCUUUGUCGAUUUUGUCCCUACCAAUAUUAAAGAGAUUGAAUAAUCUAUAUACUUUUUAUUUUGGUUGUCAAAUUUCUUCAGGGGUUUAAUUGCACUUUGAAAGAAUUGCUGCAGAAGAGCUUUUGAUAUAGCGUUCACAGAUUUUCAUUAAGCAGUUGUUUCAAUUUUAGGUCACUCUCUUCAGUCCUUGAGUAUACGCUACAAUUUUGGUGCCUAAGUUUUGUUGUGUUUUAUGUGUUAGUUAUAGUUUUUCAGUUGUAAGUUCAUUUGGUUUCACUUAUCACUUAUCAACUAAAUCUUUUUUUUUUUUACAUUUUUUUCUUAUCAGUUGUAAGUUCAUAGGUUGUAAGUUUUGCUAUUUAGCUGUCGCGCCCAAUUUUUUGAAAAAUAAAAUUUAUGAUGUUGAAAAAAUGAGUUUUUGAUUUUAGAGAAUAUUGACAUAUUAAAAAUGUGUGUUUUUUAUUUUAGAAAAUAAAGAAAAAGGACCUAAAAUGAGACUUAAAAUGUGUGAUGGUUUGGGCCCAAAAUUUAGUCUAAAAAGGAUUUUUUUUAAAAAAAAUAGGAGUCGCUAGUUGGUAUUGAGUUUAGAUGUACCAAGUCACCCAAAAAAUAUAUAAAAAAUAGACAAAAUCCCUUUUAGACGACUCCAGAUCUUUGAAAACAAAAGAAAAAGGUUCGGGAGUUACGGCUAAAGAAAGGGAAGGCAAAGAUUUGAUAGACUCAAACCUAAGGCACUCUUUCAACCUAACCAAGAUUAGUUGUGAGAUUUAGUCAAAAAUUUUCCUAAUCUAACCUACAAAACUUAUUAAAUUAGGAUGUUUCUAUAUGGAUGUGAAUCUAGACCUAUGAAGUAUUAGGAGGGUCGAAAUAUUUCUUUAAAGUUUAAUUGGUGCAAAUCACAUUAAUUGUGAUGCCCAAAAAUGAUUCUUAGAAGUGGUCACGAAUAUGCAAUAGAUGAGACUCAAAAAAUAAAUUAUAAUAUAUAGAUAAAUAUACAUGAUCUAGAAAAGGGAAAUGCAAUAUAACACGUAUGGGAUGUUAAAAUUCGUAACUCAAAAUUUUCUUUUAUAGAGGGGACAAGAGCGUGUUAAGGUUAAGAAGCCACACUCGUUCAUUUCUCACAUUUGAAAGCUAACUCUCUUAACCUAAUCAAACAUAUGAAUUAACCUAUUUCUAAUUUACUAAAAUGAGAUGUAAUUCUAAAUAAUAUGAUCCAAACAUAUAGAGGGCAAGGGAAUAAUAAUAAAGAAAAUAUCAUGUAAAUGAAAAUAACCUAAAAAUAGAAAAAAUGUAUGAAACACGAGGUAUGAAUCUAACACAAAAACGGUCUAAAGGGUCUAGUAUUGGACUAACCCAUUUCUACAAAUCCUCACAAGUGUUGGACUAGUGAAAAAUCAUGGAGAAAGGUCACAACUAGCAUUGGACUAGUGUGGUGAAAUCAUGCAUUUAUUAUAAAUAAAUAAAGCAUAUAAAGCAUAAUUAAAACAAAUAAACACAUAAAACACAUAGAGCACAUAACACAUAGGCAUGAUAUCUAAAUGCAAAAUCCUAAAAAAAGCGAGUAAACAUAUAAGCACACAAGCGAAUAAAUGCACAUAAAAAUCCACACUAUUACAUUCGAGACCCUAACUACAAUCUAAGAGGGAAAUUUGAAAAAUAAUAAUCUAACUAUUACAUUCAUCUAACUAAUUACAUUUUGGCAAAAAUAUAACUUAUUUAUUACAUAACUUAGCUAAAUACAUUUUUUGGGCAUCUAUUUAUUAUAAUUUGGCAUUUAAAUGCCUCUCAAAUAAUUAUCAAAAUUAAAUAAAAUAAAUGAAAAUGAAAAUGAAUAAAAUGAGUAAAUAAAAAAAAGCACUUAAAACAUGCAAUUACACAUAAAAAACAUAUAGGAGCACAUAAAAGGAUUUAAAACAAUACUAGAAGAUACCUCCCUUGAAAUAGUGAUUAAAUGAGGUUGGAAUUGCCCUAUUGAUACUCCAAAAUCAACAAAAUGAUCAAGGCACCAAUUUAAUUAACAAAUAAAGAGAAUAAAAUGUAAACAUAUGAUAAAUUCAUUUUAUUAUUAUAAAUAAAUGGAAACAACCAUAAAAUCUACCAAUUAAAAGCAUUUAAAUGAAGUAUAAUUAACAAUUAAAGAAGAUAAACAAAUUAUAUUUAAGAUAUCAAAACUAUUAGGGACCUAAUUGUAAAAAUUCAAAAAAAAUUUUGGUCAAACUAAAUUAUUACAAAGAUUAGGGGUUAAAAUAAAAAAUAAAGUUUAGGGAUAAAAUUAUAAUUAAAUUAGAGACCUAAUUGCAAGAAUCUAAAGUUUUUAAGGCCACAGUAAAAUUAUUUAAAAGAUCAGGGGGUAAAUUACAAUUUUCCAUCAAAUUGGUUAGGGCUAGAAGUUUUUCCUUCUCCUUGGGCCGAAGACUCCCUUGGCCCGGCGAAAAUUUCAAAGAAAAAGCACAAGCCAGCCAAAUCUUUGACGCAACAAUCCCAACCAAAAAUGUUUGGUCUUUACCCUCCAACCCCAAGCCAUAACCCAAAGAAAAUAAACCAACAACUCAUUUGCCAAAUCCAACCAAAUAACAUUACCCAUUUCAUAAACCAUUUUCCCAAACCCAUAAAAGAAAAGAAUAAGCCCAUCUAGGAGAUUAAAUCCAACAAAAAUGUUUAUACCCUGAUUAUGUCCUAAAAUCUGGAAAUAAUCCACUCAAAAACAUGUAUAAAAUGUACAAAAGAGGAUCAAAACUUGAAGAGGGCAGAUUUGAUUCAUUUUCACAAACUUUUGGACCUUAGUGGAAUUAUGCAAAAGUUGGGGGGUAAAAAUGUAAUUUUGAAUUCUUCCAUGCAAGCUUGUUACUAUUGCAUAAGUGAUAAAAAAUGCAUGGACUCCUUGUUAACAAUUUUAUCACAUGCAUAAGUGUAAAAAUGCAUGGACUCCUCGGGGAAGAGUCUGCCGUAGAAAGAGCCAGGCAUUGCGGCUAUCAGGCACGAUCCUAUUUUGCGUCCGUUUUCUUUCUCAAGUUUGCGGUAGAAGCUUGGCAGCGACUUGAAAACCGAAUUGAAAUCAUUUUGGAAAAGAUCAUUCAGAAAAAUCUGAAUGGUGGGAGGUUCUAAUGCAUUCUUCUUUUCCUG
Molecule: long non-coding RNA, 60506 nt
Filed under: Coffea arabica (coffee)
Lineage: Eukaryota; Viridiplantae; Streptophyta; Magnoliopsida; Gentianales; Rubiaceae
Description: long non-coding RNA (CARA_LNC006517)
Source: RNAcentral